GAAUCCUCAAUUCCCACAUAGUUUUGCAGUGACCUGGGAACCGGAGGGACCUCGACAUCCAUGACACCCUCUAGCAUGCGAACAACUUGCCCCAUCAUUGGCCUGUGGUCUUCAGCAUCCUGAAUGCACCAACAGGCGACUCUACAGGUUCUGUUCAGCUGCCCCACUUCAGCGUUGCCCUCCAGACUACUGUCCAACAGGCACAUAACAUCACCUUCAUUCACCUUAACUGCAGCAUAUAUUGGAAAGUAAGUAAACUUUCCUUCCUUAAUCUUCUCCGAAUUUCUUCGCCCUGCAAUGAUUUCUAGAAGCACCAUUCCGUAGCUGUAAACAUCAGCCUUAUGUGUGAUUGGUAGCCCUGAGAUCCACUCCGGUGCAAGGUAUCCGAUGGUCCCUCGCAUUGUUGUCAGUGCCCUGCUGAAAUCUCGACAAAGAAGCUUUGCCAUGCCAAAAUCUGCAAUUUUGGGACAGAGUUCUGCGUCAAGAAGUAUAUUAUCUGGCUUCAUGUCACAGUGUACAAUACAGUCCCUGCAUCCCUCGUGCAGAUAAGCCAGGCCUCCUGCAAUUCCAAGAGCAAUCGAGUACCGCAGCUCCCAGCUUAACUUAGAGGAUCUCUUGGAAAACAGGUGGUUACUCAAAGAACCAUUUGCCAUAUAUUCAUACACCAGGAACCUUCUACUGUCUUCAGCGCAAAACCCAAGCAGACGGACAAUAUUGAUGUGCUGAAUCAUACCUAUGGUCUGCACCUCUGCUCGAAAUUGCUUGUCUUCCUGUCUAAGGCCUUUUAGCUUCUUCACAGCCACAGCAGUGCAACCUGGCAGCAUCCCUUUAAAAACGCAGCCAAAGCCUCCUUCUCCAAGUUUUUCAGAGAAAUUUUUGGUACAGUUCUUGAUCUGUACAAACGAGAAUACCACAAGGCUUCCAUUGUCAACCACCGUUCUAGCCCUGAAAAGCUUUCUUCUGCAUCUCCACAAGAGAAUCAGACCAAUAACAACAAGGGCUAGCAUCGAUCCAAAAACUAGUCUUUUCCAGAAAGAAACUAGAGGAACAGUCCUAGGACCUGAUUGUUGUUUGGUUGCUAUACGUAUGUACAUAUGGUUGCCAUUUGGACCAGAGUCAAGCACUAAUGUAUUCCGCAGGUCCGAAAACCACAGCAAGCAACUUGUAUUGUAAGCAAAGGCAGAACAAGUACAGUCCCUUAAGCAAGAGGAUUCACACUCACUCAUGUCUGAAACGUUCAGCAUGAAAGCAUGCUGAGGAUAUCUAUGAAUGCCAUGUAUUGGAUAAAAUGUCACUUCUGGACGUGCAACAAUGCUUUUUUCACAAUUCAGAGGUUCCUUUCUUGAACAACCUGCAAUAUUCCAUUCUUGGGUAUAUGGUGGAUCAAAACCAACAGGGCAUAUACAAGAGCCCGACCUUGUGCAGAGACCGUAAGGUCCACAAUAUGAGUCAUAGUCGCAUAAUGUAUCUGGAGCGGACCAUAAUACAGUAUCGCAUUCCCCUUGUUUAUAAAAUGUCACAAAUCCAGAGCUAUUUAAUUGUAUGUAAGUACGUGCAUCAUUGAAUGUUAGCGCAUAGUGUCCAUCUUCACGAAUAUCCAUCCAUCUAGGAAAAGUACCAGUAAACAUAAGACCAUCAUAAGUACGCUGGAUAAUAAAACCUCGCCUCCUAGUUGCAUCCAGUGACAGAGUAUAUUCGGCAAAAACAUAAUCAGAAUAACUGUAAAGGGUGAUGUUCAUGCAGGUGAUUUUACUUAAUCCCAGGAGUCCUCCAGAGAGCAGUACAUUCGUCGGGCUAUCAAAACUCUGCCAAAUCACCAUGGAAUUGUUUGCUUGGUCUCUUAUUACAAGAUUUCCGUUGUCAAGAAGCACUGCAGCAGCGUUCACAGAAGUAUUCCACAUGUUGGAUGAGUACCAAUAGUCGCCAUAGGAUGCGGUUAGAUUUAGCACGCCAUUCUCUGUGAGUGAGAGGGUAGUACCUUCACAAGCAUACUGCCCAGGUUGCCAAACAGGAAAAUAUUCACGAUUACAAGAUGAUGGUUUAGCAAACCAGAUACCCAAACCGCAACAUGAAUUAUAAUCAUCUUCAUGAACGGAGCAGGCAAAACCCAACUUGAAGGCACCGUUUUUUGAGACGAGGCUGUGGUUUGCAUCUAGGAAUUGUCCUGGAAGGAGGGUGUCUGAUGCGUAUGCGAAUUUGCAGCAGGAAUAUACAAGGUUGAUCAAGGGUGGAAAUAGUAAAACGAAGGAAGAUGAGAACAAGGACCUCCAGUUGUUUGCCUUCACCAUUUCAGGGUAUCUCUACUUCAUGCCACUUUGGUAGUGCUCUCAACCCGCUCCAACAGCUCUAGAUCCUGCUCCUCGUCGAUCCGCGCCUCAAACAUACAGCGCCCUCCUCGGCUCCUCGACUCGGACCGCGCACUUCGCCGCCGUGGACCGCAGACACCCGCAAGCGCUGUUUGGCUCACUAGUGUUAAAGUUUAACACCUGUCACAUCGGAUGUUUGAAUGCUAAUUAGGAGUAUUAAAUAUAGACUAAUUACAAAACUAAUUGCACAGAUGAAGUGUAAUUCGCGAUACGAAUCUAUUAAGCCUAAUUAGUACAUGAUUUGACAAUGUGGUGCUACAGUAACCAUUUGCUAAUGAUGGAUUAAUUAGGCUUAAUAGAUUCGUCUCGUGAAUUAGCAUAGGGUUCUGCAAUUAGUUUUAUAAUUAGCUCAUAUUUAGUUCUCCUAAUUAGCAUCCGAACAUUCGAUGUGACACUGUUAAAGUUUAACACCUCGUAUCCAAACACCCCCUUAGUGGGACGAUGCGGCCUAGAUAUAUGGAAACCAGGAAGAGAUCUGGUCAACAGUCGAGACUCAAGAGUACCCGUCGCCAGCGUCUACUUUCUCAGGUCCAACCUGGUAGGCACCAGUGCAUAUGGAUCCUAUCGUGACACGACAUUCUUCGGGGACGAAUCGGGGUCCACGUUUAGUAGAAGAAUCUUAGGUGUUUGGAUCUGUAGACUAAUUUUUAGUUCAGAUUACAUCGUAUGUUUAGUACACUCAGCUCAUCUCAAUCUGCUCCACACCGCUUAUUCAUCUUGUUCUUAGCUUGUGUCGCCCUGUGCAGUUGUGCAAUGAUUUUUUCCAUGCCGUUUUCGUUCCCGUACAAGUGACGCUCGCCAAUGGAGGCGGCGAAGCGCGUCUGCUCGCUAUCCCGUCCCCGCGAGCCCGCGCCGCCCACCUUCCUCCUUGUCCUGCUUGGUGGCGCAUUCUUGGCCCUCGCUGCCUUCGCCGGCGACACCAUCGUCCCCGGCGAGGGCAUCUCCGGGAACCAGACGCUGGUUUCCAAGAACGGCGAGUUCGAGCUGGGCUUCUUCGCCCCGGGCGCCGGCAUCCAACGCUUCCUGGGCGUUCGAUUCAAGAAGAUGCCGAGCACCAGCCCCACGUUCUGGGUCGGGAACAGGGUCCCGAUCACCGACCUCUCCGCCGCGGCGCUGGAGGUCUUCGGCGGCAGCCUGUGCAUCAAGGAGGCCGGGGCUAGCCUCUGGUGUUCGAGCGUGGCGGCGGACGGGCCCCCGCCGCCCGCCGCCGCCGCGGUGCUCCUUGACACCGGCAACCUUGUGGUGAGGGAUCGGGCGAACUCCUCCCGGAUCUUGUGGCAGAGCUUCGAUUGCCCCGGCGACUCGCUGCUACCCGGCGCGAGGCUCGGGUUGGACAGGGACACCGGGAGCAACGUCUCCAUGACGUACAUGGAUUACCCGCACGAUGGCAGCAUCAGCGUCGAUCAGAGCAGGAGGAACGGGUUCGUGCUCACCACCGAUGGGCUCGAUAGUCUGGGGACCUUCCCGGAUUGGAUGGUGACAUCUCAAGAUAAUGGCAGAUCACUGGUGCUGAAUCGUCCAGGACCAAACGUGACCGAAUUCUUGCAGUUCCAUCUGGGACAAGUCAGCUUGAUGCGGUGGUCAGAGGAUUCUGCAGCAGCAAAUGGCAGUGGUUGGGUGGCUCGUUGGACCUUCCCUUCAGAUUGCAAAUCCAGCGGCUUCUUCUGUGGUAAUUUUGGUGCUUGCAAGAGCAAUGGCAGAUGCAAUUGCCUCGAUGGAUUUGAGCCUUCAUAUCCAGUUGAGUGGGGGCUUGGAUACUUUGUCACCGGUUGCUCGAGAUCUCUUCCACUGAGCUGCGAGGCGAAUGGUCGGACUGAACAAGAUGACUCGUUUAUCCUGAUGGACAAGCUGCAGGGGCUCCCCUAUAACCCUCAGAAUGAUUUAGCAGAAAGUGAUGGGGAUUGUAAACAAGCCUGCUUCAGCAAAUGUUACUGUGUUGCGUAUGUUUAUGACUCCGGAUGCAAGCUAUGGUACGAUAAGCUGUACAACGUGAGUUUUGCUUCUAGACCUCCAUACAGCAAGGUUUAUGUUCGUUGGGGUUCCAAGCUCCGGGCCAAAAAUGGUCUCCUCAAAAGAGCAAUUUUAUUGCCUGUGGCAGGAUUUAUAGCAUUGGCUUCUGUGAUAUUGAUACUGGCACUUCUAUGGAGAUACAGGAGAGAUUUAUUUACUUGCAGAAAGUUUGAAGUAGAGGGUUCUCUUGUUUUCUACUCUUAUGGGCAAAUCAAGAAAGCUACAAGGAAUUUCGCUGAUAAACUUGGCGAGGGAGGUUUUGGUAUUGUUUUCAGGGGAACAAUGCCAGGACCAGGAUCAACCGUUGUUGCUGUGAAGAGUCUCAAUGGCCGCGGGCACGCAGAUAAGCAAUUCAGAGCAGAAGUGCAGACAGUCGGAGUGAUCAAACACACUAAUCUUGUCCGUCUUCUCGGAUUUUGUGUUAAAGGGGACAUGAGAUUGCUGGUCUAUGAGUAUAUGCCUAAUGGUUCUUUGGAUUCACACCUCUUUUCGGAACGAUCUAGUUUUCUGAAUUGGGAUCUUCGCUACCAAAUUGCACUAGGUAUUGCCAAGGGCCUAGCCUAUCUUCAUGAAGGGUGUGAGGACUGCAUCAUACAUUGUGAUAUCAAACCUGAAAACAUACUACUUGAUGAGGAAUUCUGCGCUAAAAUCUCAGAUUUUGGCAUGGCCAAGCUUCUUGGACGUGAAUUCAACUCUGCAUUGACCACCAUCCGAGGAACCAUGGGAUACCUAGCGCCAGAGUGGAUAUCUGGACAGCCUAUCACUAAAAAGACAGAUGUUUAUAGCUUCGGUAUUGUGCUUCUCGAAAUAGUUUCAGGGAGAAGGACUACAAAGAGAUUGAAAUCCGGAAGUCAUCGAUAUUUUCCUCUUUAUGCAGCUGCUCAAGUGAAUGAAGGAAAUGUGUUGUGCUUACUGGAUAGUAGGUUGGAAGGGAAUGCUAAUGUCAAGGAGCUUGACAUCACCUGCAGAGUUGCCUGUUGGUGUAUCCAGGACGAGGAGAACGACAGGCCAUCAAUGGGGCAAGUUGUUCGCAUGUUGGAAGGCGUCGUGAACACUGAAAUUCCUCCAAUUCCAUCUUCCUUUCAGAACCUUAUGGAGGGCGAGAACAGCUGUAUAUAUUCUGACGAAGGAUAAAGUUUUAGUUAGAGUGGGGAUAAUGUGUAGGGUGCAUUCAAGGCAAACAACACACAUGCUCCAAGCUUACUUCAAGUUUAAUCGUUUUUCUGUUGCUAGAGCAGUAAACUAAUUUCUUUCUUGACCUACUAGAUAUUGAUAGCAUAUCCGUCCAGCUCAUUAUGAAUCAGUUUGUAGGGAUUGUAUGUCUAUACCAGGAAAUGCAAUGGGAAGCUGGAAAUUCUUGUCCUGCUGUCACUUGUCACCCUGCUAUAGUAUUAUUCAGAAGUGCGGAUAAUCCAAAUGUAAAUGAGAGGCGUGAUUCUAUGAGUUAAGGUAAUUAUAGAACGUUAUCGUGCAAUUAGGCCAGCAUCAUGGAAAACUCAAUAUUGUCAACAGUACUGCUUUAGAUUCGAACAGCAAUAUUGGCCAUAUCAUUAUCUGCACGGGGUUGGAUACAGGGAUUCCAUGUAUGUCCCCAAAGUAAUCUAUAUGCCAAUGCUCAUCUGGUAACAAUAUUCAGUUUCAGUAUCAGGUUUUUGCCCUUUUGUCAGAGAAACUGUUUGCAUGGGCAGCCACUAUGGGAACUCGGUUAUUUAUGCCUGUAAGUGAUGAUCGGGUUCGAUCGCAAUGAAAUGUGAAACACGUGCCUUCGGAACUUGUGCUUGUGGCAGUGUCUUCUUUUGCAUGGGCAGCUAAUGUGUUGUGAUUUGUGAACCAUGCUCCAAGAGUUCGUAAAAAAAGAGAGGUUUAGAUGGCAUCGAUAGAAGUUUAAAGGGAAAAUUGGUUUUUCACAACAUCGGCAGAUCCCAAUUUUUCAAGUUUAAGUUUUACGAUAUUCAGUUUUGUUGGGUUAACUAGGUCCUUCUUUUUCGAAUGUUACUCAUUAUGUUUUCAAAAUCAACCGGACGCCUGAUUUUGCUCUAGUUAAGGUAGACAACCUAGGGAGUUAAUUUCAAACGCAAAAGCAUGCAAACGGCCUAUGAGAAUGAAGCUCAUAAGCUGGUGAUUCAAAACCAUAGUUUACAUUACCACGUUGACCUUAUUCCUAGUAGGGUUAUCUAGCUGAGAUAUUACUAAUUACACCCUCCGUUCUAAAUUUGUAGGCAUUUUAGCUUUAUCUAGGUCAAAUUUAUUUAACUUUAAUUAAAAUUAUAAAAAAUACCAACAUGUGCAACAUCAAAUUAGUUUCAUUAAAUCUAUCAUAAAAUAUGUAUUGAUUGUGUAUUUAUUUCGUAAUAUGAAAAUUACCAUAUUUUACUAUAAACUUGAUCAAAGGUGGAGAUUGUGUAUUUAUUUCGUAAUAUGAAAAUUACCAUAUUUUACUAUAAACUUGAUCAAAGCUGGAGAAGUUUGAUCUAGAUAAACCUAGCAUAGCGCAUAAUUAUCCUUAUGGUGGAAUCAUUGGCGAAGCUUGAGCCAAUAGUAGGGGUGCUAAGUAUUCAAUAAAUUAGGCUAAUUAUUUGCAGUGUAAUCAUAUUAGUAUCUUUUAACAUCUUUAACAUCUAUUAAUUUGCAGUGUAAUCAUUGGCGGAGCUUGAGUUUGUAGGCUGUGAUCAACGGCAGCCUCGUGCUCAGAGUCCUUUACUGUAACAGCUCCAUGCCGUGAUGCAGGCCAUGUCGCGAUUAAUAGAUUCGUCUCGCCAUUUAGAUUCCACUUAUGUAAUUGGUUUUGUAAAUAGUCUACGUUUAAUACUCCUAAUUAGUAUCUAAACAUUCGAUAUGACACGUGCUAAAAAUAAGAUAGUGGAAGAAAACGCCCCCCUUAACUUACCACAACAAGCAAGCGAGCUAGCUAUCCAUCCAUCAUCCCAUGCCCGUCUAUAUACGAGAAGAAGCCCAUGGGAAGUGGAAUCCAUCCCGGGUCCGACGAAGAAAAGGGGCAAAAGAAGUGGGUUCAGACAUUCGGUUGCUUGCAUCGAAGGAAUCAUUGCAUGGUCUUUUUGACUGGUUUGUCUUCGUCCAAGUUCUUCGUAUCUGCUCUGUAUUAUUUUUUAAAAAAAAGGCUGCUACUACUUGUUUCUCAACUUGUAAGACUUUUAUAGCUUUCGAACAGUUUGGUCGAUGCCUACCCAAUAAACAUAAAUAAAUAAAUAAAUAGUCACCACAUCUGGUUUGCAGACAUUUUCCAUGUUUUCUGUCCACUGACUUUUCUCCACCAAAUAAUAGUAUAGUUGCUUGCUGGAGCUACCCGCAAGCACGAGUAGCACCUCAAUCUGCUUCACAUCGCUGGUUCAUCUUGUUCUCAGCUUGCGUCGCGUUGUGCAGCUGUACCAGGCCACACAUUGCUGAUUUCUUCCAUGCCUUGUUCGUUCCCCUGCUAGUUAGCAGUGACGCUCGCCAAUGGGGGCGGUGAAGCGCGUCUGCCCGCUGUUCCGGCCUCGCGAGCGCGCUCUGCCCACCUUCCCUCUUUUCCUGCUUGGUUGCGCAUUCUUCGCCGUCGCUGCCUUCGCCGGAGACACCAUCCUCCCCGGCGAGGGCAUCUCCGGGAACGAGACGCUGGUCUCCAAGAAUGGCGAGUUCGAGCUGGGCUUCUUCUCCCCGGGCGACAACAUCCAUUUCUUCCUUGGCGUCCGAUUCAAGAAGAUGCCGAGCACCAGCCCCAACUUCUGGGUCGGGAACAGGGUCCCAAUCACGGACCUUUCCGCCUCGGCGCUCGAGGUCUUCGGCGGCAGCCUGUGCAUCAAGGAGGCCGGGGCUAGCCUCUGGUGUUCGAGUGGGGUCGCGGUCGGCCCCUCGCCGCCCGCCGCCGCCGCGGUGCUCCUUGACAACGGCAACCUCGUGGUGAUGGAUCGGGCCAACUCCUUUCGGAUCUUGUGGCAGAGCCUCGAUUACCCCGGCGACUCGCUGCUACCCGGCGCGAGGCUCGGGUUCGACAGGGACACCGGAAGCAACAUCUCCAUGACGUACGAGCAUUACCCCAACAACGGCAGCAUCAGCGUCGAUCAAAGCAGGAGGAACGGGUUCGUGCUCACCACCGAUGGGCUCGAUAGUCUGGGGACCUUCCCAGAUUGGAUGGUGACAUCUCAAGACAACGGCAGCUCACUGGUGCUGAAUCGUCCAAACCCAAAUGUGACUGAAUUCUUGCAGCUCCAUCUUGGACAAGUCAGCUUGAAGCGGUGGUCAGAGGAUUCUGCAGCAGCAAACAGAAGUGGUUGGGUGGCUCGUUGGACCUUCCCUUCAGAUUGCAAAUCCAGCGGCUUCUUCUGUGGUAGUUUUGGUGUUUGCACGAGCAACGGCAAAUGCACUUGCCUCGAUGGAUUUGAGCCUAGAUAUCCAGUUGAGUGGGGGCUUGGAUCCUUUGUCACUGGUUGCUCAAGAUCUCUUCCAUUGAGCUGUGAGACGAAUGGCCAGACUGAACAUGGUGACUCGUUUAUCCUGAUAGACAAGCUGCAGGGAAUCCCUUAUUACUCCCAGAAUGAUUUAGCAGAAAGUGGUGAAGAUUGUAAACAAGCCUGCUUGAGCAAUUGUUACUGUGUUGCGUAUGUGUAUGACUCCGGAUGCAAUCUAUGGUACGAUAAGCUGUACAACGUGAGUUUUGCUUCUAGACCUCCAUACAGCAAGGUUUAUGUUCGUUGGGGUUCCAAGCUCCCGGCCAAAAAUGGUCUCCACAAAAGAGCAAUUUUAUUGUCUGUGGCAGGAUUUAUAGCAUUGGCUUCUAUGAUAUUGAUACUGGCACUUCUAUGGAGAUACAGGAGAGAUCUAUUUACUUGCAGAAAGUUUGAAGUAGAGGGUUCUCUUGUUUUCUACUCUUAUGGGCAAAUUAAGAGAGCUACAAGGAAUUUCUCUGAUAAACUUGGCGAGGGAGGUUUUGGUAGUGUUUUCAGGGGAACAAUGCCAGGACCCGGAUCAACAGUUAUUGCUGUGAAGAGUCUCAAAGGCCAUGGGCACGCAGAUAAGCAAUUCAGAGCUGAAGUGCAGACAGUUGGAGUGAUCAAACACACUAACCUCGUCCGUCUUCUGGGAUUUUGUGUCAAAGGGGAUAUGAGGUUGCUGGUCUAUGAGUGUAUGCCUAAUGGUUCUUUGGAUUCACAUCUCUUUUCAGAAAGUUCUAGUCUUCUGAAUUGGGAUCUUCGCUACCAAAUCGCACUAGGUAUUGCAAAGGGCCUAGUCUAUCUUCAUGAAGAAUGUGAGGACUGCAUCAUACAUUGUGAUAUCAAGCCUGAAAACAUACUACUUGAUGAGGAAUUCUGCGCAAAAAUCUCAGACUUUGGCAUGGCAAAGCUUCUUGGGCAUGAAUUCAACUCUGCAUUGACCACCUUCCGGGGAACCAUGGGAUACCUCGCGCCAGAGUGGAUAUCUGGACAGCCUAUCACUAAAAAGGCAGAUGUUUAUAGCUUCGGCAUCGUGCUUCUCGAAAUAGUCUCAGGGAGAAGGACUACAAAGAGAUUGAAAUCCGGAAAUCAUCGGUAUUUCCCUCUUUAUGCAGCCGCUCAAGUGAAUGAAGGGAAUGUGUUGUGCUUACUGGAUAGUAGGCUCGAAGGGAAUGCUAAUGUUAAGGAGCUUGACAUCACCUGCAGAGUUGCCUGUUGGUGCAUCCAGGACGAGAAGGACGACAGGCCAUCAAUAGGGCAAGUUGUUCGCAUGCUGGAAGGCGUUGUGAACACUGAAAUUCCUCCAAUUCCAUCUUCCUUUGAGAACCUUAUGGAGGGUGAGAACAGCUGUAUAUAUUCUGACGAAGGAUAAAGUUUUAGUUAUAGUGGGGAAAUUUGUUAGGACGACAACCUACAUGCACUGAUAGAAGUUAAUGUUGGUAUUCAGAGUGGAGAUUAGGCCAUUCACAGUGCUGAGUUUCAUUUCACAGUUUCUAAGACUGCCAUGUCACCCAAUGUGGAAUGACACUGUUAAUGAAACAAGCCCUACAAUGCUUGGUUUCACUUCACUGUUUUCAAAGCUAGUCAUACCAUUAACUUAAUUGAUUAUGUUGUGAUCUAUUGCUCCAUAUGAAUUAUGUAGCACUUUUCUAUUCUUUUCAAAUACUAGAUACAAAUGACGCAUGAAUGAACGAACGUGACAUCUCUUUGAAUUGAAAUAUAGUUGCAUUCAUUUCAAUAUUCAUACGAUACAUGGCAUAUAUAAAUAUGGCAUUAGCAAAUAAAAUAGGCGACGCAAAGAUAGUUUAAUUCACUUUAAUUUCCAUACAUCAUAUGGUAGUAGACGGCAUAUAUAAUAUAGAAUUCAUAUGUCAUGCUUUAGCUAAGUUUAUCGCUGUCCAUACUUUUGCCAAAUAUGCUCAAUCAAGUCCUUCUUAAGCUGGAAAUGAGCUGAAUGAUCUUCAAUAUCUUCAUUCUUGUCUAGCACUCUUUCGAAUGUAGCGCAUUCUUCAAGGGAGAAUUCCGGUUCUUCAACAAUCAAUGUACUUGGAGGCUCGUUCAAAUCAAGAUUUUCUUCAAUGUCCUCAAUCUUUUCAUCUUCAACUAUCAUAUUGUGAAGUGUGAUGCAAGCUAGCACAAUUUUCUCAAGAACUCCUCGGUCAUAUAGACGAGCUGGUCGCUUCACAAUUUCCGUUGACCAUAUAUUGCACUCGAGGAGCUUGCCCCUUUAGUUCUUUGAUAAAUAGUGUCGAUUGCUUAAGAACGUUGAUAUCAUUGUUAGCACCAGCAACACCAAAGCAUGCAUGCCGUAUCCAAAGAUCAUGCGAAGCCACGGCCUCCAGAAUUAAUGUUGGGACUUUUUGAUCACCCCAAGUGAAUUGGCCCUUCCAUGCAUUGGGACAUCUUUCCCAGUGCCAAUUCAUGCAGUCAAAAUGCUCGCAAACAUGCCUGUAAAACCUCAGCUCUCACUAACUUUGAGCAAACGCUCAAUAUCUGCCACGGUGGGGCGCCUCAAAUAUUGCUCACCAAAAACAGCAAUAACACUUUCGGCAAACAUCUUCAACACCUGUAAUGCAGUAGUGUCACCAAUCUUCAAGUACUCAUCUAGAUGAUCUGCGGCACUACCAUUGGCCAAUUGACGAAUAGCUGCUGAUGUUGUAAAAGCCGGACAGCUGCAGUAGUCGUCACCAUUAAUUCACAGCUCUGCAACAAGCACAACUGAAAUGCAGUGGUUCCACCUCCAAGGGAACAUGUCAAUCAUCAGCAAAUGCGGCUAGCCAAGUGGACCAAGUCUCACACCGUCACACGUAAAGAUAGGUUGGACAAGGCCAAGACAGGUGCCUAACUAGACAGAGCUAGAGUCGACAGGUGUGCUUCUGUAGUUCUGUGGUCCGAGUACAAGUUUGAUGAGUAUGCUUAGAGUUGCUUUCGGAAAGAUUGUUCUGGUUAGACUGGAAGGCUCUCGUUUCAAUUCCUAGAACAGAAAUGGAGUGCAACAAGCACAACUGAAAUGCAGUGGUUCCACCUCCAAGGGAACAUGGCGAAGGAUGAAAUUUUCCUACCUGGGGUAUGUAUCCCAGUUACUUUCAAUCCAGCAGCUUCAAAUUUAUCGCUUCUUUAGUUCCUUAUUAUCCUUGUUUCUGCUCUGACCCGUCGACGAUGCUUUCCCAUGAAGAUGAUGAUGAAGCACAGGCAUCCAGUGUCUUCCAACUUUCCAACAAUAUUACUCUUCAUCGUCCUACUAUUUGCAGGUAGCCUAGCUGCUCCUGUGAAGGACACCCUUCUUUCUGGUCAGUGUAUUUCGGCAACCGAAACAUUAACAUCAAAGAGUGGUACAUUUGAGCUGGGACUGUUUGCUCAAACAUUUUAUCACAGUGAGCAGUACUACUGCUGGGGUUGGGGCAUACGUUACAAGAGCAUGACACAAGGUCCAGAGUUCUUGGUGGGAUAUGGUAGGUAUUCCAGCAACAGUUCAACAUUGUGUUUCCUUGCAGGCAAGCUAUAUAUUGGGGAACGGGGCUCUGAUUCUGUUAUCUGGCCCUCGGACUCUGAAAGAAAUGGAUCAGUUGCGUCUGUUGCGAUUCUUCUUGACACAGGUAAUUUUGUAGUAAGAGAUGAGAUGAAUCCUUCCGUGGUCAUGUGGCAGAGUUUUGAUCACCUACGUGGUCCGAGUGAUGCAAAGCUACCUGGGGCAACCACUGGAGCUUACGCAAUGGCGCAAAUGUACAACUAUCCUCCUUAUAAUUGUACUCUGGAGAUUGACAAAAGCAGGAAGAGGGGAUUUGCCAUUCACGUUGGCGGUGCCUCAUAUGGGUCCUUUCCGGACUGGAUGGUUGCCUACCAAAAUGUUAGUUCUGUACAACUGAAUGUUCCCAAAAGGCCCAACGAUAUUGAGUUGUUAAAACUGGACAUGGGACAGAUGAGUUUUUUGAGGUGCUUGGCAACCUCUAUGGAGCUUUCCCUCCAGCUGCAAUAUUAGUCCAUUUAUCUGUGGCGCUUUUGGUGUUUGCACUCAAGCCGAAGAAUGCAAGUGCAUUGACGGUUUCAGACCGGCACUUGCAGAUGAAUGGGAGCUGGGCCGUUUCACGAGUGGUUGCUUAAGUGUGAAAAUGGUGAUACCACUGACUCAUUUGUUUUGGUGGACCAUCUGCAGAGACUCCCUGACUAUGGACGGGAUGAGCCUGCAGCAAGUAGUGAUGAAUGCAAAUCAGCUUGCCUGAGCAACUGCUAUUGCGCUGCAUACUCCUAUAGUUCUGGGUGCAAGAUUUGGCCGUUCAAGUUGCAUAAUUUGAGUCUGGCUGAUAAUCCUAUCUGGGCAGGCUGUAACUUACAAAGUAGAUGUCUACAGUUUCGGCAUCGUGCUCUUUGAGAUAAUUUCGGGGAGAAGGACUGCUAAGAAAGUGAGAUUCCAGCUUCGUUUCAGUGCCUCAUGGACUAUGAUGACAGUGGCAUAUAUUCUGCAGAAGGGCCAGGUUCCAGGAAACACUGUUAGCACCAUGUAAAUUUCUCAUGUGCUGCUUGCCAUAUUUUCAUCUUCAUGCUGGGCCUACUUGGUAGUUCAGCUAGGCAUUUGGAACUGCUACAUGGAGUUUUAUAUAUUUUUUCCUAGCAUUUGUUUGGUACUGAACUGCGUUAUGACAUUGUUCAAUUCUAAAGAAAAUAAAUAAAAAAGGUCACCCUGUCACGAAACUAUGCAGAAGCACAUUUCUUCCGGUGGUGUUUGGAACCAAGGUCCUGUUUGAUACUUUUAGCACCUGUUACAUCGGAUGUUUGAUGCUAAUUAGGAGUAUUAAACAUAAGCUAAUUACAAAAGUAAUUGCACAGAUAGUCCAUGAUUUGAUAAUGUGGUGCUACAGUAACCAUUUGCUAAUGAUGGAUUAAUUAAACUUAAUAGAUUCAUCUUGCAAAUUAGCACAGGGGUUCUGCAAUUAGUUUUAUAAUUAGCUUAUGUUUAGUCCUAAUUAGAAUAUCCGAUGUGACACGACUAAAGUUUAGCACCUAGUAUCCAAAGACCCUCUAAAUACAUACGCGCUAUGCAAAUGCCAAUGUGUGGGUUCCUUGAGCUUUCACGGUUUAUGGUUUAGUGCAAUAUUCGUUGAGAUCUGUAUUAUACGUACACUGACGAAGGCCAGGAUGAAAAUAUCCGGGCGGAUUUCUGCAGCGGAUCAGCAGCAGCGACGCAAUUGCGUGCUGUUUCGUCCGCAGGCACCGCAUCACCCAAAAUGAUAUGAAAUGAAAUGGCAGUCACACACUGGCGUUGCGAUCACGGGCGAGAGAUGACAAAGCGCGUUUCGGCCCCAUCCAUGACCAUGAUGAUCGCCUGGCCUUUUUCCUCACGUCGCGCUCUCACAGCACAGGCAGACAGGUCCAAUGCUUGUCCUCGACGGGUCCAAGUGCAGACAGGUCCAAUGCUUCGCAAUACUCUGCAAUAGCGUCGCCAGUGCAGUCAGCUCCCAACUGUGACCGAGAAGAUAGAUGGUCUACUGGUCUAGCAUGCAUGAUUGCAUUGUCACUAGAUAGCCAAUGGUUGCUGAAUGCUGAUGGACGCUCCAUGGUGAAAGGGAAAUGCCAUGCCAGUCCCCCAGCUCAACUCCAAACAAAAGUGACACGUGACAGGACCAGCGACCAGGACGACACGACUCACCAUUUGAAUCUGCGGGUGUUGGCAUGCUACUCUAACCCACCAAAAUCCAUCAUUGCAUUACUCUGCUCUUCGAAAAGAACAAAAGAGGGAAAAGGAAAUAGGCCCGUUUGAUAGCCCAGCUAAAGUUAAAGCACCUAUCACAUCGGAUGUUUGAUAUAAAUAUAGGUUAAUUAUAAAACUAAUUGCAUAGAUGGAGUCUAAUUCACGAGAUGAAUCUAUUAAGCCUAAUUAGUUUGUAAUUUGAUAAUGUGGUACUACAAUAAUCAUUUGCUAAUGAUGGAUUAAUUAGGUUUAAUAGAUUCGUCUCACAAAUUAGCACAGGAGUUCUGCAAUUAGUUUUAUAAUUAGCUCAUGUUUAAUCCUCCUAAUUAGCAUCCGAACCUCCUAUAUGAUACUGUUAAAGUUUAGCACUAGAGUAGAACUGAGCUAGCCCGUCCAGAAGUAACACCUUUUGUGCGUGCAUGGGCGAACCCAAAAAUAGAAUGCCCGCCAAUCUACUCCUGUGUACACGGUAUAUGCAUAAAAAGAGGUUACAACAAGAUACCACACCCCGUUCGGUGGCACUGUACGUAUGCAUACAUACGCAUGUGCCUACGAUUCAAGAUACAGGUGGUCCAUAUCCCUGCACGUCUUGUUACCAAGCAACGAGACGUAAAAGGCAAUGCCCAGGUGCAGCUCUGGACCAGAACAUGUCCCCGGAACGCGCGUAGCAGCGUACAUGUACGGGCUAUACACUGAAAGCACGGACCACAGGGGGAGCACGGGACCGGUGCGUAGGACACACGCGCCAUUAUGGAUAAAAAGACGCUCAACAGUAGCCGCAUGGCGUCGCGUCGGUACUCCUGUAAUCGUGUAUCCCAGCUGAACGUACCACCUGUAUUCUUGGGCAAUGCACGUAUGUGUACGCGUGUACCACGGGGGGUUCCUGCCAUGCCCUGCCAGCCUGCAUCAAUAAUUCCGUUAUAAAUGUCAGCUUCAGAUCGUACAUUACAUCUACUUAUAAUAUGCUUCCGUCAGCUGUAUGGUAUUGGUACGUAUGGGUAGCAGGUGGUGGUGCAGAGCGGCGCCAAAUUGGUAGUGCUGGAAUGUCCUGUGGAUUACUGCCAAAUCGGCUUCAUAAUUAACGAGGUGCACCCAUCACUGUUAGGCGAUUAGUGAAGGUACGGUGCGUAGCCGUCUUUUUAGUUGCAGUGUUAGUUUGAACCCCGGAAGAGAUCACUCCUAACCAGCGUCGUGCUGCCUUUUUGUUAGCUCCAAGCAAGCAAGCUACUACAGUGCCGUUUAUGCUACUCAUGAUUCACACUGCAGCUGGUCAGCUCGUCUUCGCCCCCGGGUGUCUUGGCUUGGCUUGGCUUGCGGGCUUGGGAUGUUCAAACAAACGAAAAUUUGACUGGCGCUGGCAAAAAGGAAAAGUGAAAGCCAAGUCAAGCGGGCAGCUCACCUCAGCUGUGGAUGGAUGGACGCAAUCAUCAAUCGCCCACACCGCUGCCGUCUUUUUCCUUUGCCGUGCGUGCUGGAUUCACAUCCCUUUCUUUCUUCUUCCCGCCGACCUAAUCCGAAGAUGGCUCGUUUCUACUGCUGCUCCCCGUUGGUCUGGUCGCCGAUGCUGAUGGGAGCAGUUUUGUUUCUGAGUUUUACUAGUUGCUGGUCAGAGGUAACAACUUUUUGUUAGUUUGUGCUAAUAACCCUGCUACCGCGCUGUCUUGUCUUGCGUUCCAUCUUCCACCACGGAAGUGAGGCCGUGUUUAGUUGGGGAAUUUGGGAGGUGCCAAAUUACUGUUACAGCACUGUAGCACACUGUAGCGUUUCGUUUGUAUUUGUGAAUUAUUGUCCAAAUAUUGACUAAUUAGGCUCAAAAGAUUCGUCUCGCAAAGUACAACAAAACUGUGCAAUUAGUUUUUAAUUUCAUCUACAUUUAGUACUCCAUGCAUGUACCGCAAGUUUGAUGUGAUGGGGAAUCUUCUUUUUGCAUAGUGUCAAAGUUGGGAGUUGGAAGUAACUAAACAUGGCCUGAAGCUUGUUUUUGCUAGUCACAUCAUCACAUGGCUUGUAUUAAAAUAAAUGCAAAGAUUACCGGAUCGGAUCACCAAACGACCUUGCUUGCCACAGCCGAGGCGGCGAUGGUUGCCAGGAAUCUCAACUACAGAAGAGGAAUGGCAGACAAGAAAUGCUCAGAAAUUCUAUUGCCGCCCACCACUCCAGCUGAGGGUCACAUGCAGCAGCGUUGCAUCUCCCCCACAAAUCCAGCAAAAACACGGCGCCCCAGCCGGGAGCGCCGCUCACUGCACACCACCCGGCAACCCACGCCAUCUCUCCCUCCCCCGCCUCCAGCGCUCGCGCACGCUUCCCCACGACGCCAAGCUACCAGUCUACCGCAGCUGAGCAGCCAGCCAGCCACCACCUAGGCACCUCCUCCUCCCUCCCCCCCUUCACGGCUCCUCUGCUCCCCCCUCACUCACUCACGCGUCUCGCCUCCCCUCCCGUUCCGUACCGUGCUGCUCCUCGCUCCACUUCAGAUCCAACGAAACCGUCCGCCCCCACCGCCACCGCCGGCGGCAGCACACCAUGCCGCGGCGCCCGCCGCUCCGCGUGGCGGCGGCGGCGCUCCUGCUCUGCUGCAUCCUCUGCCUCCGCCUCGCGUCGGCCGAGCCCGACGCCGACAAGGCGGCGCUGCUCGCCUUCCUCGCGGGGGUGGGCCGCGGCGGCGCCGCCCGCGCGCGCAUCAACUGGCCCACCACCCCGCUCGCCUGCGCAGGCCCCGGCUGGACGGGAGUCACCUGCAGCGCCGACGCCACCCGCGUCGUGGCGCUGCACCUCCCGGGGCUGGGCCUCUCCGGCGCCGUCCCCUCCGGCACCCUCGGCCGCCUCGACGCGCUGCAGCUGCUCAGCCUCCGCGCCAACAACCUCUCCGGCCGGUUCCCGACGGACCUCCUCAGCCUCCCCGCGCUCACCGGGCUCCACCUCCAGCGCAACGCCUUCUCCGGCGCGCUCCCCGCGGGGCUCGCCGCGCUGCAGAACCUCCAGGUGCUCGACCUCUCCUACAACCGCUUCGAGGGGGGACUCCCCGGCGCGCUCUCCAACCUCACCCACCUCGUCGCGCUCAACCUCUCCAACAACUCGCUCGCCGGCCGCGUCCCGGACCUCGGCCUCCCAGCGCUACAGUUCCUCAACCUCUCAAACAACCACCUUGACGGCCCCUUGCCCGGCUCCCUCCUCAGGUUCGCCGACGCCGCGUUCGCGGGCAACAACGUCACGCGCCCGGCGGCGCCGGUGCCGCCGCCGGCGCUCCUGCCGCCCUCAACGCUGGCCCCGCCUUCCACUAAGAGGCGGGUGCGGCUCAGCGAGGCGGCCAUCCUCGCCAUCGCCGUCGGCGGCUGCGUCCUCGUGUUCGCCGUCGUCGCGGUGUCCCUCAUCGCGUUCUGCAACCGGGACGGCGGCGAGGAGAUGGGCGGCGGUGCGGUGUCUGGGAAGGGCGGGGACAAGAUGGGGAGGGAGUCGCCCGAGUCCAAGGCCGUCAUUGGCAAGGCCGGGGACGGCAACCGGAUGGUGUUCUUCGAGGGCCCGUCGCUGGCGUUCGACCUAGAGGACCUGCUCCGCGCUUCUGCCGAGGUCCUCGGGAAGGGCGCGUUCGGGACGGCGUACCGGGCGGUGCUCGAGGAUGCCACCACGGUCGUCGUCAAGAGGCUCAAGGAGGUCAAUGCCGGCCGCCGCGAGUUCGAGCAGCAGAUGGAGCUGGUCGGCCGGAUUCGGCAUGACAACGUCGUCGAGCUCCGUGCUUACUACUACUCCAAGGACGAGAAGCUGCUCGUGUACGAUUACUACAGCAGGGGAAGCGUAUCCAACAUGCUUCAUGGUAUGGUGCUUGCUCCCAGCCUCACCUUCUCUUGUGUAACUUUCAUAGUUUCAGUGCUCAAUUUGGAUGCUGCAAUUUGCUUGAUAACUGCCACCGUUUGUUUGUGUGCUAGAACUGUAGCAAUGAUGAUACUAUGAUUGCGACAGAGAAGUGGCACUUAAGAAAUGUGUUAGGAGAUGUUGCAAACAAUUUAAAAAGGAAGAAGAUUUGUAAUGUGGAGUGAUUGUGGUGAGCUGGAGAUGCGGUGUUGCUUGUUGUUUGGGAAGGGGUUAAUGGUUCGAUAAGCUAACUGAUUGUUUAGUGUAACAAAGUUUGGUUGACUUUAUCAGAUGCAGGCUAGGAUGGACAAUUAGGAUUUGGGGGUUAACGGUAAAGGCAAUACAGGAUCAAAAGGCUAGAAAAUGUUGGAUAGGUCCUUGUUUGUGCUCUGUUUAUUGUCUAGGUCCACAUUUUAAUUUUCUGACCGUAGCACUUGAGGCCUUUUGACCGAUAUAUUUGAAAAUAACUCCUCCCUGUGUUUUCUCUCUUUUUAUCGUAUCAGUCAAUAUCAACCCCCUUUUUCUGCUUUGACAAAAAUUUUCAUCAUGUGGCAUUACAUUGGCAAUGAAUGGGAAUGAUUUCCUCAGCUUUGUGUUGGUAGUGGGAUGAACAGAAUUUUCCCUCUUGCUGAACAUGCUAUUUUUGACUCUACUAUUCUAAGGAAAAGAUGAACUUUAGUGUUCCGCGCUUUGGUUCACCAACCAAAAGUAACACAUGGUGCUGAUUUCUUCCUUAAUUCUGGUUUAGUGACUUGCUAUCCUAUACUAAUUUCCUGUGUUCAUUUAGAUCUAGCUGUUUGGUGCAUAGUGCUUAGCUGUCUUCACUCGCAAUUUUUCUUCAAACUUUAAUCCGUUUCAAUUCAAGUUCACAUGGCAUGCUUGGUGCGUGGUGGUCAACUCUGGUCACAUCAGUGCCAUCUUAGCACCAAGACAAUCUGUUUCCUACCUCAUCCCAUGAGGUUAAGUGGACCGUGAAAUCUUGUUGAUGAAGUGUAUGUGUACUUCAAUCACAAGAUGACAUGGAAUUCGAAUAACAAACUGUGUGGUUAAUUAGUUUGUAACUGGCGAAAUACGCCGUCGAUAAUUUACUAGCGAAAAAAAAAGAUGGAGCUAUAAGUGGUAGCGGGCAACUGUGGAAGAAAAUUGGAUGACGGAUGCAUUAAGAAGUAGGCAGUAGUUGAGUGUUUUCGCCUACUAAAAAGUAAAUCUUUUCAAGUUUAAUUGGUAAAAUCCUUCAAUUAGUUAGCGUUGGUGUUCUGUUCACUAUCAUGGCCCAUUCCUCCAUUUCAGUGUCAGAAUCUGGACCAGAGGAGGACCACCGUUAGAUAUCCUAUGGAGUACUAUGGAUGAACAAUUUGCAACCAUGUUAGUUGUGUAUCUGUAUCAUGAUGGAGCACUGCAGCUAACAGUAGGAACUUAAACUGUAGGAAUACUUGAUUAUAAGUAUUUAGGCCAUAUGGAGUAUGAUGUUAUCCAGAAAACAGACAUCAAUUAUACUUCAAUCUACCAUGUUAGUUUGUUAUCUGAUGCUUAAAGUAUAAACGCUUCACAUGAUUAAAGCAACAUGCAUCUCAUAGUUCUUCUCAUUUUUUCGCAUUUUCAGGGAAGAGGGGAGAGGACAGAACGCCAUUGGACUGGGAAACCAGAUUAAAGAUUGCCCUGGGAGCAGCAAGAGGAAUCGCACACAUUCACACGGAGAACAAUGGGAAAUUUGUUCACGGCAACAUCAAGGCCUCCAAUGUGUUCAUCAACAGGCACGACUUCGGCUGCAUCUCAGACCUCGGCUUGGCACAACUGAUGAACCCAAUCACCGCAAGGUCCCGUUCUCUAGGCUACUGCGCGCCAGAGGUCACCGACACGAGGAAAGCAUCACAGGCUUCAGACGUGUACAGCUUCGGCGUCUUCAUCCUCGAGCUCCUCACGGGGAAGUCGCCUGUCCAGAUAACCGGCGGCGGCAACGAGUUCGUCCACCUGGUGAGGUGGGUGCAGUCCGUCGUCCGGGAGGAGUGGACCGCCGAGGUGUUUGACGGCGAGCUGCUGCGGUACCCCAACAUCGAGGAGGAGAUGGUGGAGAUGCUCCAGAUCGCCAUGGCGUGCGUGUCGAGGACCCCGGAGCGGCGGCCCAGGAUGGCGGACGUGGUGAGGACGAUCGAGGAGGUGCGGCGGGGCGACACCGGGACGCGGCCGUCGACGGAGGCGUCCACCCCGGCCGUGGAAGCCGCCGCCCAGACCAGGGCGGAGAGCUCAUCAUCCGCAGCACAGUGAGUGAGUUCAAGUUCAUUCGCUGGAUGAUCCUCGCGGAUGGUAUUCGUUGUUCUUGUGUUGUUGCACGGUAGGGAGCACGGAUGGGGUCGAUCCCUGUGUGCUCCGGCGGGUGCUGUACCAUUCUUUUGUGUUAAGAUUCCAUCAAUGUUACGAAAUUGUAACAGAAUGUCAUGUGGACUUGGUUCGAUUAUGCAGCAAUUGCUCGCUGCUGAUUGUCACUGAGCGAAGGAUGAAAAAUUGCUCGCUCCUGUGUCCGCUGCGUUGCUUCUUCAGCUCCGGUUUGCAUUGCUAGAUCCGAUCUGAUGCACUUGCACCGUUGCACGUGUGGGCGGAAUGGGUGGGUAUGUUGAUUUGAUUUUUGUGGGUCCGAUUUAUGGCCCAUGGGCUCUCUCGUGGCCCAGGCAGCACAGUUUUUGAAUUUUGACCCAUAUAGAGUUAUAGACCUCAAGAACCGGCAGCAAGCAAAGAGAUAUGCUCUCACCUCAUCUCUUCUCGUUCUUCUAGCAUUUGGCAUCAAAUGAUCAAAUGGAUUAGUACGUUGACCACACAACUAGGUGUUUAGGUUUCCAGCCAGCCAUCAAAUGAGCAGCAUAACUCAAGGUGAGACAGGCCACCACAGAGACGGACUAUCAAGCAAAGUAUGCUAGCUAGAACAUACAAGCUCAGACACUAAGGCAAAUACGCUAGAGCACGGACAGAUGUCCGAUUUUCACGGCAUGCAGAUUAGAGGUUGGAUGCCCACCCGAUGAAUCUGACCAAACUGCAAAAUGCAGCCCAUAAUGUCCUGCAGCUGAACAUCUUCACAAUAUAUGACAAUAAAAAGAUGUUUUUGAUAGCUUGUGCAACUCUAUUUUCGUCGUUAUUGGCACUAAUAACAUUUGCCACUGUUUUAGUCUUCUCACAUCCAUUUGCAAGAGCAAUACCCAAACCAGCCAGUUGCAUCAUCUUUAGGAACAAUAUAAGAUGUAAGGGGUGCAUAUGCACCCACAUCAAAAUACAAAACUAGUGAUCAAGAUCAAAAUUUCACCAUAUAUAUACACUCACAUGGCUCAACUCCACGGGCUCAUAAGGUAGCCACACCACCUCCAACUUGCUCCAGAUUUUAGCCGCCGCACCUAAGCUCCUAAUAUAUAAUGUGUCUAAUUUACCUUAGAAGGCCAAACUAGCAGCCCAUGGAUUGGCUUCAAGGAUCUAGCAUUUUAACCCAUCACUACCAGCAAAUAGUUUGCGAAAUAUUAAUUCGCAUAUUUUUGCAUGAUUUUUUAACUCCAUAUGUGGAUCCCACCCAAAUGUCAUUCGCAAGUUGCAAGGGAGAGUUAUGAUAGAUCCUAGCCGUUGUGAUCCGUACUCCUCCCUUUAGGCCCUGUUUGGCAUGGCUCCAGCUCUGGACGGAGCUGCUCCACUCCAGAACUCCAGGUGGAGUCAGCUCCACUCCAGAACUCCAGAAUAAAAUGGGGUGUUUGGCUAGAUGGGUGCUCUCAGCUCCAAAAUAAUCAAUCUUCAGUGUGGAUUGCCAUUGUUACCCCCAAUUUAGGUCCCACUUGUCAUUCUCUCCAUCGCCAUCUCCUUCUUCCUCGGAAAGGCUGCCCGGCAACCACGACACACCGUUCUCUCCUCUUUUUUUCCUUGCCCCGGCGCUCCCGCCGUCUCGCAGGAGCAAGCAAGCAGCUCACCAGCGUAGGGGCUUCGGCGGACGGGCGAACUGGCGGCCGGCGGAGGGGCUUCGGCGGACGGGCGCGAAGGCCGGCGGGGGAUCUUCAGCGGCGGGGCGAACUGGCGGCCGGCGGAGGGGCUUCGGCGGACGGGCGCGAAUGCCGGCGGCGGGCCUUCGGCGGAGCGGCGCGAAGGCCGGCGACGGGUCCUGCGGCUGGCGACGGGGCCUACUGCCGGCAGCCGGGGGCUACGGCUGGCGACGGGGGCCUGCGGCGACAGGGCCCUGCGACCGGCGGGGGAGGGGGGGUCUCCGGGUGGCUGGCGGCGGACCCUGCGGCCGGCGACGGGGGGCUGCUGCCGGCGGGGGGGGGGGGGGGGGGNNNNNNNNNNNNNNNNNNNNNNNNNNNNNNNNNNNNNNNNNNNNNNNNNNNNNNNNNNNNNNNNNNNNNNNNNNNNNNNNNNNNNNNNNNNNNNNNNNNNACCAGGCGGCAGCCGGCGUUGGGGCUCCUGCUGCAGGCGGCGGCCGGCGGCGGGCCUUGUGCAGAUCAGGCGGGAGGCGGAGGAAGGAGGCCGGGCUGGGGUAGGAGAUCGGCGGCGGGGCUGGGCCGGCCACCGGCGGGGCUGGUCCGGCCGGCAGCGGAGGUGGACGGCGGCCGCCGGUCUGCCUGGCGGCGGCGGCAGAAACGUCGGGACGGAGGGAGGCGCAGGAUGAGGAGACGGAAGGAGGCGCGGGAUGAGAAAAAUGAGAUGCGCAGGGUGACUGGAGAAUAGAAUCGAACCGUUUUUUUCCAUAACCAGUGGUAUUGGUGGGUAAUUACCCACCAACUCCACGAGGAGGUUCAAAAGAGGGGGUUUUGGAGCAGCAAAAAAGGUACUACAGCUCCAUGGAGUUUUGGAGUUGGGGUGUUUGGCUAUUUUUUUUCCUGGAGUCGCUGGAGUUGUGGAGUGGAGCUGUGCCAAACAGGACCUUAAUUACCUACAUUCAAUUCCAUGUCAAAUUUAAAAACUAUAUUCCAAAUCCUUUUUUUAAACGAGGCGGAAAGUAAACCUAUCGAUUAUAUUAAAAAGAAUAUGAAAUCUAAACUGAGCGAUACAUCCAAAGAAAAAAAACUACCAAACAACUCCGACAGGUUGGAUUGGGACAUAUCAAGAUCCGCCGCACAACACCAUUACAUUAUCCAACUCAACUCAAACAAACAACACCGGUCGAUUGGAUUAGGACAUUAACACUCCAAGUACAAAUUCAAGAUGGUUUUGACUAUUUGCACGUGGCAAGUGAUUUUUAUUCACUACUACGAGCCUUACUUUAAAUAGCAGGCUUAAAAAAGCUUUAUUGUUUCCUUUGGAAUAUAGUACCUUAAAAUUUAGUAUCUUCUUUUCGUUCCAAGUCAUAUUUGCGUUGUGCCGCCGGCCGGAGUGCACGCAGCACCAGACGAAGCAGUAACACCUCCCGGCUCGAUCGGUUCUUCUUUUUCACGUCCAUCUACCGCGGACGGAGCAAGCAAGCAGCUCCCGGGUCGAUCGGUUCUUCGUUGUCACGUCCGAUCCGUCUACCGCGGACGGAGCAAGAUGCAUGCGCAGAUCAUGUCGCUGUUGUGUGCCGCCGUCGUGCUCGUCCUCUCGCCGUGGGAGCCCAUGCUCGCAUCCGCCGCCUCCUCCGUCGGUUCCCGGCGCUACGACGCCAUCUUCAGCCUCGGCGACUCCUUCACCGACACCGGCAACAACCCCGCCGUCUUCGCCUAUUACUCCAUCGCCGACCCCGUCACGCGGCCGCCGUACGGCAACACCUUCUUCGGCCGCCCCACCGGCCGCAACUGCGACGGCCGCCUCAUCAUCGACUUCAUCGGUAUACAUGCACGCACUCAAAUCGCAUGCCAUGUCGUUGCGAACAAAUUAAACUGUUAAUUGUCAUUGUCGAAUUGAUAUUUUUGGAGCACUACGUACCUGUUGUGUCGUGCAGCCGAAGGCCUGGGGCUGCCGUACGUCCCGCCUUACUUGGGCCCGCCGUUCGGCUCCCCGUCGCCGUCGGCAGCGAGCUUCCGGCAAGGCGCGAGCUUGGCCGUCGGCGGCGCCACCGCGCUGGACGUGGAGUUCUACCGCUCGAGGGGAAUCCUCUCGGCCUCCAGCAAGUUCCCUCUCAACGCCAGCCUGAGCGUGCAGCUGGAGUGGUUCGGGUCGCACUUGAAGCCUUCCCUGUGCCGCACAACCCAAGGUACGUACCGCAACAAUUCACAAAAGCGCAUCAUGCAACCGCAAGUGACCCGGCACGUACGUCGAUCGUGCAUGCGCGUGUGCAGAAUGCGACAAGUUGUUCGGCAGAUCCCUCUUCUUCGUGGGAGAGUUCGGCGUCAACGACUACCAGUUCUUGUUCGGGAAGAUGAGACUUGCUGACAUCAGUUCCAACGUCGUGCCGACUGUCAUAGACACCAUCCGUCAGGCCAUCGAGGUACAUCCUUGUUCAUUUCCUGGAUUGUGCAUGCCAUUAGAGUACGUGUUCAUCCAAUUCACGUACUGCCAAUGCGAACCAGAGGUUGAUCAAGCUCGGCGCCAAGACACUGGUGGUUCCUGGGGUGAUUCCAUCAGGAUGCACACCGCUGAUUCUCGACAUCUUCCCUGAGCCAAACCCUUCUGGAUACAGCACCAAGACGGGCUGUAUGCUACAGUACAAUGAGCUAGGGCGACACCACAACACACUCCUGCAGGAAUCACUGCAGCAGAUCCGUGCCAAGAACCCGGGCGUCAAGAUCAUCUACGCCGAUUUCUUCAGCCCUAUCAUGGAGAUGGUCCAGUCGCCUCGCAAGUUUGGUCAGUGUUCAUUCCUUCUUCGAUCUGUUGCAUUACUGUUAGAUUGUAUGUAUCUAGUGCAGUUGAAGGCCUCGAUUAAGCUGGCGACGACGCUGAUCGGUGAUGAGAUGUCUUGCAUAACCAACGAACUGCAGGGUUCAGGGAUGACAUUCUUUCGGUUUGCUGCGGAGGAGGGUCGGGGAAGUACAACUACAACAUGAGUGUUCCUUGCGGCAGUCCAAACGCAACCACAUGCAGCCAUCCAUCCGCCUCCCUGAACUGGGACGGCAUCCAUUUCACGGAGGCAGCUAACCGCCACAUCGCCAGUAGAUGGCUGAGCAGCAUCACCUAAAGCGUUCAUAAGCCGUCCGAUCGAGCUCGGCUGAGGGGCUGAGCCGUCCUCUAUAUAUCAUCUUUUUUUUUUCUUUCGUAUCAUUAAUUAGAAGAUUGUUCAUGUCUUCAUUAGGUUCGGAUCGUUUUAUACACAUAGUGUGGUAAGACUGGCAAUUAACUGAUGACUUUUACUAUUGGUCUCACCGUUCCGUGAUAUGUUUUCGAAUUGUUUGAGUUUCCGUGGCAUAUAUAUUUUGUUUAGUUGUAAUAGCGAAAAUUCAAUUGCAAGGCCCUUAAAUAUUUAUAAAAAAUAUGUGAUAUCAUUUAUUUCAUUAAAAAAUACUUUAAGUAUGGUUUAUAUAUCAUCAAAAAAUUCUUGAAUAAGACGAAUGAUCAAAUACUAAAAAAAGUCAACGGUAAGGAAUAUUUGGAGUUGGAGGGAGUAUUUUGCAUGAAUUUCAACUACUCCAUGUCGACCCCACCCGACAGCCCACAUGCAAAGUCUCAAACAAGUUCCAUUCUGCCCGUUCAUUGUAUAUUGAUGAGGUUUGAGCCUUUGAGGGACUCGUGAGUUGUGACGCGUUCUUCACCUCCUGUCCAUCACCUCUCGACCCGGCCGGCUCGCUGCCACCGUCGUCAAGAUGAGCAAGCGCUUGCCGUGCGCCGCGCCGGCGCUGCUGCUGCUGCUCCUCCUCCUCCUCGUCCACCUCGCAUCGCUGGGACAGGCCGUCUCCGCCUAGGACACCCAGCGCUACGACGCCAUCUAAAGCUUCGGCGACUCUUUCGCCGACACCGGCAACAAGCCAUCGCCUUCUCAUGGUACUCCUUCCCGGUCACCGUCAUGCGGCCGCCCUACGGCGAGACCUUCUUCGGCCACCCCACCGGCCGCACCACCGACGUUCCUGUGACAGGAUAACCAAUCUAUCUAUAUAUAUAUCCUGUGAACUUCCGGAACUGAAUGUUUGAUGAAUCAUAUGGGGCCUAGGCGCCUAGCUUGUCCUAUACUUCUGCAAGUCAAUGCUUCAUUGCUUGUGUGCUCUCUAAUAUUACCUAUCAUCCAAGUCAAAUGCCGCAAGAGCUGCAAUUGGAAUCUUUGACAAUGAGGCGUUCAGAUCGAUGAUUACUCUGGUCCAAAACUAUGCCAAUGGAUAAUGAUAUACGUCUAUGCAGCAUGCUAAACAAAUUCAGCUGACAUCGCCGGCCGGCGCCUUACUAAUCCUGCAACUGCAAGCAAUAUAAGAUGGUUCCAUACUGCAGGUCGCCGAUGCCAGCCUGCAGCACCAAAAGAAAGAAGCAUGGCGCUAGCUCCUGGCCGGAGCAAGAUGCGGAUCAUCACGUUGGCAGUCUGUACCCUCCUCCUCCUGGCGUCAGCAGAGGCGGCCACCUCCUCCGCCGUCGACCGCCGAUACCACUCCAUCUUCAGCUUCGGCGACUCCUUCGCCGACACCGGCAACAACCCCGCCGUGUUCGCCUGGUACUCCUUCUUCGACCCCGUGAUGCGGCCGCCCUACGGAUCCACCUUCUUCGGCCGCCCCACCGGCCGCAACGCCGACGGCAGGCUCAUCCUUGACUUCAUCGGUAAGUACGCGCCGCGCCGCCCCGCCCCGCAUCCGGCCAUUCCAAGUUAAAUGCUAGUCAUGGCUCAUCAUUUGGAGUGCAGCUGAAAGCCUGGAGCUGCCGUACGUCCCGCCGUUCCUGGGCCCACCGUUCGCCUUCCCUUCGCCGGCAGAUGACUGCCGGUUCCGUCAGGGCGCGAGCUUCGCCGUCGGGGCAGCCACCGCCCUCGACGUGGAGUUCUUCCGCGAGAGGGACAUCCCCGGCGCCCCUAGCAAGUUCCCUUUGAACACCAGCUUGGGCGUGCAGCUGGAGUGGUUCGAGUCCAUGAAGCCUUCCUUGUGCCGCACAACCCAAGGUACGUUCAAGUCAUCAUCAGAAUUCAGAUAUACAAAGUACGGACGACACAUGCUGACAUGUGAUGGCUUUGGAUCUCGAUGCUCUAUUGCUCUGCCGGUAGAGUGCAAGGAGUUCUUGGCUGGAUCCCUCUUCUUGGUUGGGGAGUUCGGAGUCAACGACUACCACUUCUCCUUCCAGAGAAAGAGCGUCCGGGAGGUCAGGUCCUACGUUCCUCGUGUCGUCAGCGAAAUCUCAAUGGCCGUGGAGGUAAUUUCUUGACCAACUAUCCAACCGCACCUAAGUACACGGCAUUGCUGGAUUUGUAUUCGAGCCAUGACUGAUGUCGUCGGAAGUUCCUACUGACAGAGGCUGAUCAAGCACGGGGCGUCGACAUUGGUGGUUCCCGGGGCGAUCCCGUCGGGAUGCUCGCCGCCGGUGUUCACCAUGUUCCCCGACGCCGCCCCGGCAGAAUACGACUCCCGGACCGGCUGCCUGAAGGCGCAGAACGAGCUGGGGCGUCACCACAACGCGCUCUUGCAGGCGUCCCUGAAGAAGCUCCGGGCCAAGCACCCGCAUGCGAGGAUCAUCUACGCCGAUUUCUUCGGCCCCGUCAUGGAGAUGGUGGAGUCGCCUCGCAAAUUUGGUCAGUACUGUCACAAACUCACAAUGAUAGAAUCUGAUUGCAAAUAAUCGGCCGUCUCAUCUGUCUGACUGACAUGGUUGAUCGAUCUUGAUGCUGUAUGCUGGCGGCAGGGUUCAGGGACGACGUGCUCACCGUUUGCUGCGGUGGGCCCGGGAGGAACAACUACAACGGCAGUGUCUACUGCGGUGAUUCAGGUGCGACCACGUGCGGCCACCCGUCGGCUUCCCUGUACUGGGACGGCGUCCACUUCACGGAGGCGGCCAACCGCUACAUCGCCGCCGGCUGGCUGAGCAGCGUCGGACACUGGGAUGGCGCUGGUACUGGUGCAACUGCAAGCGGAGCAGGCCAUAAAAAUUGAUCAAGUAGACCCAAAACAAUUCGAGCAUGUGAAGGGGGUAUAUGUUGUUCUGGUCGGAAUUUGAGGCGUCUAAUUAGCAAUCAAAUUGCAGAGAGGAUCAUCAUCAUCAUCAAAUACAGUUGAGCUAGCUACUUACUAGUACUCCCUCCGUAUCGCUUUAGUUGACGCUGGUAGUUCAAUUGGAAAAGAAUCAGAAUAUUUGUCGCCCCAGUUCAAGGUAAACGUUAGCUUCCGCUUUCACCCUUCCCUUCGACGCCCGCUCCCCGGACGAUCGGACGAGUUGCCGAGCUGAGCGGCGGCUUGGGCAAAGGAAUACGGGAUGAGUUCGGGACAAAAGGGUAAAUGCAAGUCUUCCUUAAUUCUCACAAAGUGGUCCGAAACGUCGUUUAAAUCGAUAGGGAGGGAGUACUACUCAACGAUUUUACCAUAUUGUGGUAUUGGGCUGAAUCUGUUAUGGGAAAACUUCACAUUGGACGCUCCGUUGGUUCAUCGCAAUAUCAAAAAAUAACGUCUGGAAAGUGGUCGGAAACGUCAUUUAAAUCGAUAUGGAGGGAGUACUACUCAACGAUUUUACCGUAUUGUGAUAUUGGGCUGAAUCUGUUUAAUGCGAUGUGGAUCGGAGCGUCCCUACAUGCCUUCUAGAAUGUGUAUAAAAGAUUGAACUAUAGGGUGCGUUUGGCAGAGCUUCCAGAUCUGAUUUUGAGCUCUGCCAAAUAUUUUUUUCAAAGACAAAUGGUUCUCUAUUAAUUCUGUGAAGUGAUUCUCUGAGAUGAACUAAGAGAUUGGGAGUAAAAAAAUAGAUUCUCCUAAUUUUGUGAUGUGAUUCUCCAUCCUGAUUUUAAGAGUUUAAACCAUAGAAUCACUUUCAGUCACAGAAUCACUUCUUUCGGAGAAUCAGCUUCCAAAAAAAUCAGAAUCAGAUGGAGGUCUAGCAAACAAACUCAUAAUAUAUGUGUAAUUUUAUGUUUUGGAAAGAGGAUUAAUUGUUGCGGUAUAGCCCAAGGUGGUAGGAAUGCCACUUAUGGCUAAAGAUGUGCCUUAAUGUCUCUAAACCUUCUCUCUGUUUCUCUAUGUCCAUGCAUAAUGAGAGUAUUUCCAAUAGUGCCUAUAAAGUUAAGUUAAAAACAUGUGGUUCUGGGACCUUGCCAAAAAUUAUUGGGAAGGAAAAAAUAUCCCUCCACCAACAGUUUCCAAAAAUUAGUACCCAAAAUAAAUUAGUUGCUGACACAUCAUCCAUAUGUGUGGACCCUUCACCUCUCUCCCCAGCAAGCCGCCGCUUCUCCCUGCUCCCUUCUUUCUUCUCCACGAAGCAAAUCUCGGCAGCAGCUUGACCUUCCUCUCCUCCGAGCUCAGCCUGUCAUCUCCUCCUCUCUUCUCUCUCAACAAAAGCACCAAUCGGCAACUAGCAGGUAGCAACUAUCCUAUCCUCUUUUCCAAUCCGAUCACCAAAUCCAUAAAAAACAAGCAUGCCUGCUCCUCCCUGUUUGCUCCCCAUCGAUCUCCGCUCCUCCCUGCACUACUUGCAAAUCCAAGUAGCAAGCCAAAAACCAGAACCACCCACCCACGCCAUCUCCUUCCUCUGAAUUACUUCCAAUCCAAGCAGCUUGAGCUCCUCUCUCUCUCUCUCUCUCUCUCUCUCUCUCUCUCUCUCUCUCUCUCUCUCUCUCUCUCUCCACCGAAGAAAUCAGCAGCUGUAGCCAUGCGCCACCUCUCUCAUCCCUCCUCUCUCUGCUCCACCGAAACAGGCAGCCAAUAACGGUAGCUACUCAAUCCGCUUUCCACACAACCAUUCAUCCACCUGCAAGCAGUUGUCUGGGUAGCGGCACCGCUGUGCCGAUGUUGCCUGCGGACGACCCGUUGCCGCCGACGGACGGAUGGUAAAUGACGCGAGGGAGAAGAAACCAAGCGGGAGGAGGAAAAAUUGGCGGGACUGGCAGGAUUGGGAGUGCGAGCGGGCGGCGCAAAAAUGGCUCGGAAUGCCAGCUGGGCGUGCGGGAAUAUUGGGCAAUUGUUGGAGCUGUUUUUUAUGAGCUUGUUCCUAAAAUAUUUUUUUUUAUAUUUUAGGCAUUCUUGAAGAUGCUCUAAGGCAUACCAUUAUAAAAAGAACAUGAUUUUAUAUUUGUUUUUGUCUUUGAUCAUAUUUGUUUGGAGAACUCUAAAAUUCUUUUAAUAUUUUUUUGAAACAUUUUGUGGUUAUGUUUUCCACCAUGGGCUAAGACCAAAUUUCAUUAGUUAACAAGUAACAAAAUUAAAAAAGUUUACUGCAGAUAGAAUUUAAACUAACAUCGCAAAACGACACAGAUAGACUACAAAGUUUAAUUUUUUUAGGCACAACAUGAAACCAACAGCUAACAAAGACUACAUCUAAACGCCAGCUUGCAUUUCCAUUUUCCAGAUUUUGCAUUCUCCACCUUAUCUGCACCCUCUUCACCUCUUUUUAUCAGCACCCAUUCUUCACAUCUUUUUUAUCAGCACCCAUUCUUCUACUGAGGCAGCACCACACCUGCAUCACUCGAUGGAGCCUCCUGAGGGUGAAAAUAUAAAUCCAUCGCCUUGAGUGCUUCCGCCCCUUCUUCCAGCUUCCCCUUUAUCUUCCUCCUUUUGUAAUUCUACCCAUAACAUGAGAAAUGUUGAGACAGAGCAAAUGAUCUCAGUAGGAGAUUGAAUAAUUUUUCUAUCAAAACACACACUAUUUCGUGCUUUCCAAAUGGCCCAGCAAAGAGUUUCAUGAAUCCUGAGGGCAGUCCCAACCCAAGACACUAGUUAUAGUUUUCAUCAGCUCCACAUCGUCCAGAAACUAGCAUUAGACACUACUCUUCCAAUGCAAACAUCAGUGUUCCAUACUUGAAUUUAAUACUACUUAUUUUUAUUAUGUCUUGGAUGGUGUGUAGAAACUAGGUCUCAUGCAAGACCUGGUUUCCUUCUCUCUCUUCAUUUACUCCCUUGACACAUCAUCUUUUAUCCUAGGUGGCAGCUCAUUUAAUUUUAUGAACACCAUCCUAGUUAUUGGGUUGGGACUGCCCUCAUAGUGAUAAUGCCAUAGUAUUUUGAAAUAUGUUAAUAAUGGAGCAUGAAAAUUCCUAAUAGUUGCCAUCUCCUAUCCCAAUCCUGAUCUGUCACACUUGGUUUUAAAGGCAAAAUCAGAUGCAUAAAUUACAUAUGCGUCAGGAUAAAGUUACACACAUGCAACGACUUUAGCAUAUACCAUAGGCAGUUACACACAUGACCGUCGGGCUCUUGCCCUUUUGGUAAGACCACUUCAAACUAGAGUCUAUAAUUAAUUAGCCAAGACUAGAGCCAUAUGGUUCUUGUGGUUGUACUGUUUUCUUAGGUGGUCGCUCCAUGUUCCAAUUAAGCAUGGUGAUCUUGUAUUAAUGAAAGGUAUAGCAUAAAUAAAAUAGGUUUAAGCAUUGGUUCAUUGAUACCACCAUACCUAGCUAGAGCAACUGAGCAUGAACUACCCAACAUUAAAGCAACCCAGGUUGAUCAAGGUACAUGGAUAAAACUAGGCACACCUUAAAUAUGACCUAUCAUGUUUAUAAACUUAAGGUGCAUAGCAUAUGUGUAUUGAACAUGAAAGUAAAGGUUGCAUAGGAUCAAGUUGUGAUCAAGAGCACGACUUGCCUUCCUGGACCUGCUCCUACUGCUCGAAGUCUUCAAAGUCUUGACCUUCGAAUUCCUCGAACUGUGGUCCUUCUAUACGCAUCACACGAGCACAUACAAGCAAACAAGGGAAUAAAAUAAGAAAACGAUACACCAAACAGUAGCAACAGAGCAAAACAAGAUCAUAAAACUAAUAUGUGCAUUAACACGAACUCAUAGACGCAAGAAUCGCUUAAAACAUGUCUAAAACGCUAAAGAUAUGAACUAAACAAGGUGUACGGGUUUAUCGACAACAAAACUAAACUUCAGGGGCUAAACUGCGAGAAAUCAAGAGCUAAAACAUAAAUACGCAUAUAAACUGAAGGUUUAACGCGUAAAAGAGUGGGUCAAGGACACCGAGCGCUAUUUUACCAAAGAUCAGGGGCUAAAAUAGAAGAAAAAGGACCUAGAUCUAAUUACUUUUGAACUGCAGUGGACCUUAGGUGCAAAAACUAUAAAACUCAGGGGCACUUUAGCAAAAAGAACGAUGCGGCGCGGGCUUGACCGGUAUUGACCUGAGUCAGAUCUAAUCCGGACCGUCGGAUCGAGAUCGGGCGGCUGCGGUCAUCUGGAACACGGGCGGCGGCGUGUGAGCAACGGCGGACGGCGGUGAGUGGCGGCGGAGCAGGGAACUCGCUAGAACUCGCUCGAAAGCAAGCAUCUGGACGCGGUUUGCAACGAGAUCUGGCCCUGGAGGGAGCGGAGCGCACGGCGAACCGAUCUAAGGUGUUCUCAUGGUGGUUGGAGCGACUACGGCACAAGGUGACGCGGUGGAGCGGCUCAGCGCGGCGGCGUGUUUCUCUGGCGAGCUCGUCCAUGCAAAGGAAGACACGGGAGAGCACAGGAACUUCACAGACGGCCUCCUCGACAGCGACGGAGGAGAUCGACGGUGGCUGGCGUGCACUGUGCUCGGGCUCGGGCGGCGGCGGUGCUAGAGCUCAAGGCGGUCGCUUAGGGUUUGGUGAGGCCGAUGGGCGGUGGGGCGGCCUUUUAUAACCCGGGUGCUGGCCUUGGCAUACGGGCCCGAGGUCGAGGCGGGCGCACGCACGGGUGCGGCACAAGCUCAGACUCGAGUCCGGCUCGAGUGCGGCAUGAAGAUGGUAGGAGGGGGGAUGACCGAUGGGUCUCGGGUGUUAGCGGGAGAGCGGCGGCGUGUGGGAAACGGACCGGCGCGGAGGGAACGGAGCUGGCCGGCCUGCUUGGCUGAAAAGAAGAAUCGGGCUGAAAGAGAGAAAGAAAGAGAGAAAAGAAAACGAAGGAAAAAGCAAAAGGCUUUCCCUAAUGUUUAAAAAGAUUCAAACAUGAAUUCAAAUACAAAUUUGAAUUCAACAACAAAAACAAUGUACCAACCUGAAUGCAAUAAUAAACUCUUAUGAUUCAUUAGUUUAUUUUGAAAAAGAUUUAAGUGAAAAAAAUUUAAAUACAACCUUAAAAUCCUUAGACACAUGCAAUUAAAUUCUAACAAAAUUUUAUUAAUUGCAAAAUUUGAAAAUUAGGACGUUACACAAUCCAGACUUGGCCUUGUGUUUCAUCCUGAGUGUCAGCGACGAGGUGGAGAUGUAGCUGUUGAACGCCUGCUGAUUUCUAUUUUUUUUUUGAAAAUGGAUAAAUAUCUGACCUUUGAGAUCGCACACAGCCAAGUUUUAUAGUAUUCAAUUCUUAGCACAUCAGCUCAUCACACAAAUAAGUGUAAUAGUACGCAAACGGCUGGAAGAAAUCAAAAGUAAAGUCUAUUGUUGAUUCUCCAUCCAUUCUUGACAAAGAUAUUUAGGACGACGAUCUCCAAUACCUUGCUUGCCAAACAGAUAGUCUCUCUUGCUCCCUCACGCUGCAGUAGGGACCAAUAUCGUAGCCAAUAUGCUCCCUUGAAAAUAGCCUGCAUAAAAGAGGUUAAUCGUUUUUAUUUUCAAAAAUCAUAUCGUCACGCGUACACCAAAUUGCCCACAUCAAAGCUGCAACCCCAAUAAAAAUCAAAUUUCUAUCUCUUUUUAUUCAUGCUUGUUAACCAAUUUCCAAGCAUGUGUUGUAUUGAUCUUGGUGGGGUUAACCCAGUAGUUGUAGUUACAACCCUCCACAUUAUCUUAGCAUGUUGACAAUCAAAAGAAAUGCUUAAUUGUUUUGUUACAAUCACAGAAAUAAUAGUUUUGACUCCUAGUCCAAUUACUCUUAGCUAAGUUAUCCUUUGGUAAGAUAACACCCCGAUACCAAAGGAAUAUUUUUAUUUUUUAGAGGAAUCUUUAACUUUCAUAUAAAUUUAUUGAUGAAAGGAGUACCAUGAUUAAUGAGAUAUUGAUACAUAGUUUGAACAAUAAUUUGCCUUGUCUAUGCAAAUCCUUGGUAAAAUUAUCCCUCCCAUAAGAAAGUUGGUGAGUGACUACUUUAGCUACGAGAUUAUGCGAGACAGUCAGUUUAUCUCAGACUAAAACUCUUCGAAAUGAUAUAUAGCAUUUGGUUCAUGACAUUUGCCACUGUUACGUGGGGAUAGUAGUGGGAAUUGCUCUGUAUUUUGUAUCCUACCAGAAUCUCGAAGAUCCGAUGGCGUGUAAACAUUGCCACUGUUACGACCUACAAAAUCUCGCCUAACCUUGAGUAAACAUUUCCGAUGGCGUGUCCACGCCUUCCGCCAGUCGUUUGAGAUGACAGGUCCCAAUCAUUUACGACAUCACUCUUUCACUCGAUGAUUGCCGACACGAGAUACACGCCCACAUUGACGAGCAGCAGAGAUUUGUGACAGGAACAAACACUUCCCCAUCUGCCCCGGCAGGCUGGAACGAGGCAGAGCAAGCUAGCAACCAACAUGGGCGGCUUCACGCCGCGGGCUGCCGCCUCGCUUCUCCUCCUGCUUCUCCUCCGCUCGCCGUCGCCGUCGGAGCCCGUGGCCGCCGCCGCCGCCGCCCUCCGCGCCCGGCGCUACGACUCCAUCUUCGGCUUCGGCGACUCCUUCACCGACACCGGCAACAACCCCGUCGUCUUCGCGUGGUACUCCGUCCCCAACCCCGUCACGCGCCCGCCCUACGGCUCCACCUUCUUCGGCCACCCCACCGGACGCAACUGCGACGGCCGCCUCAUCAUCGACUUCAUCGGUGCGUGCGACGUCAUGCUGCUGUCAUCACCUUGUACUUUGCUCGUCCUUGGUAGCCUCGAUUCGACGUCGCCCCUUCUGUGGUCGCAGCGGAGGGCCUGGGCCUGCCUCUCGUGCCGCCAUUCCUGGCGCACGACGGGAGCUUCCGCCGCGGCGCCAACUUCGCGGUCGGGGCCGCCACCGCCAUCGACGCUGCCUUCUUCCACGACGGCGAGCCCCCGGGCACCGACAACAAGUUCCCUUUCAACACCAGCUUAGGCGUGCAGCUGCAGUGGUUCGAGUCACUCAAGCCCUCCCUCUGCGCCACAACCCAAGGUGCGUGAAGGUCGCAUUAUUGGUGAGCGGUCGAUCCAUACAGUAAAUUGAAUGAUCUGCUGCGUGCAGAGUGCAAGGAUUUCUUCGGCAGAUCGCUCUUCUUCCUUGGAGAGCUCGGGUUCAACGACUACAGCUUCUCGAUGAACAAGGGGAAGAAUGUUCAACAGCUCAGAUCCUUGGUGCCACACGUCAUCAGGACCAUCUCCAUGGCCAUUGAGGUGAUAUCUCAAUCACUCCAUGUAGCCAGUAAUUAACCUGCAAGGGAAAUUAAAUCGUGGUAAAUAAUUGUUAGCAGAGGUUGAUCCAAGCACGGGGCUCCAUGUAGCCAGUAAUUGACCUGCAAGGGAAAUUAAAUCGUGGUAAAUAAUUGUUAGCAGAGGUUGAUCAAGCACGGGGCCACAAGUUUGCUGGUCUCCGGGAUGGUUCCGGCGGGAUGCGACCCGCCGAUUCUCACCUUCUUCCCCAGUGCCGACCCAGCAAGCUACGAGCCCCGGACAGGCUGCCUGAAAGGGAUGAACGAGCUGUCCACCUAUCACAACUCAAUGUUGCAGGAGUCCCUAGACAAGAUCCGUUCCAAGCACCUUGACGUCGAGAUCGGUUACGCCGAUUUCUUCAGCCCCGUAAUGGAGAUGGUGAAAUCGCCGGCCAAAUUUGGUCAGUACUCAUCACUACUUACUCAGUGCUAGCACACUGCAAAUUUCCUAGAGCUGCUGCAAUGUGCAUGAAUGCAUGGCUGUUAAGUUGCUGAGAGAUGUGAUUUGAGCUUGGUGACUCAUCGAAUGUUGUUGCAGGGUUUGAAGAGGACGCUCUGACCGUCUGCUGUGGAGGCCCGGGAAGGUACCACUUCAGUGGAGUGGUCGUCUGCGGCGAUCCAGGCUCGACCACAUGCAAGGACCCAUCUGCUCGUCUGUUCUGGGAUGGCGCCCACUUGACGGAGGCGGCCAACCGCUACAUCGCCGACGGCUGGCUCCGCAGCAUCAGCUCUCCUGCAACUGCUACCAACUAAUUGUGUGUGUGAGUUACUUCUUAAUACAAAGGUGCACAGCUCUCCUGCGUAUUUCCAAAAAACUAAUUGUGUGCGAGACCUCAGGAUUUGUCGACUUUAGUCUCGGGUUCAUGCUGAAGCCGGGUUCGAUCAAUUUGGGACCAGAAUGGCUGCCCCAGCUCAGUUAAAUAUAUUCAAUUUGUACAUCCCACACCCUAAGUAAAAUAUUAGCUUAAUUUACUUCCUCCUCCUUUUGAUACUAGCUUAAUAUACCAUCUGAACUGUUUUUUAUCAUGAUUUGCCAGCGUGGUAUCAUUUUGACUGAGUCGAUUCACGUUUAAUCUGUUUUUUUUCUUUUCAAAACGAGGCUCACUCCAUUUCCAUUUAUAGAACGAAAAUUCCACAAGUCUGGUGCACAGAGGGGAGACUUAAGAGGAACUUAGUCUAUGUAACCUGAUUCAGGGAGAUAAACUAGAGAAACGUUUCCACCUUCAGGGUUCCUAGAGGUACACCUACCGCAUGAAAGGAGUUGCAUGACUGACAGACUCCCACAUCAACAUUACUUCUACCCAACAGCAGGGGAAACAACGAUACUUCUCGCACAAAUCCAAAACUACAAAAGGAAUCGUAGCGGUUGUUAAUGCUCCAACCUGCAAGCAUAGCGAUGGUGCCAAGUUGCGUUUGGGUUGGCUCGGAACGGGUGCAGCCGUGCAGCAGCGGCGAUUGAUGAGGCAUACGCAGAAAUAACACCAUGUGGCACGCAAGCGACAGUGAGAAAAUAAGCGAAACGUCAAUGGUGACUUCGUCAAUCUCGAGAAUUUGUAGGCUCAAUCUCUCUGACAUACUCAUAGGUACAGAGUUGCGUACAUGUGUUUGUAGGGUUAAAUGUGCAUGCAUAUAUGUGAGUGUGUGUGAUGUGUGAUUCAGAAAAAAAAAAUAUAGUCUCGGGAAACACAUGUUGACAACGCAAGAUAGUAUUUUGAAAUCUGGGCCAUGUUUAGUUUCCCCCAACUCUCAACUUUGGCACUAUGCAAAAAGAAGAUUCCCCAUCACAUCAAACUUGCGGUGCAUGCAUGGAGUACUAAAUGUAGACGAAAUUAAAAACUAAUUGCACAGUUUUGUUGUACUUUGCGAGACGAAUAUUUUGAGCCUAAUUAGUCAAUGUUUGGACAAUAAUUCACAAAUACAAACGAAACGCUACAGUGUGCUACAGUGCUGUAACAGUAAUUUAGCACCUCCCAACUUCAACAACUAAACAAGGCCCUGGUAACAAUGUAGCAGGAAAGUUUCGUAACGGUUGCCAUCUCUGUCCCACUCCCGAUUCAGGGGGUGUUUGGGAAACCCCUGUUAAAGUUUAACACCUGUCACAUCGGAUGUUUGGAUGCUAAUUAGGAGUACUAAACAUAAGCUAAUUACAAAACUAAUUGCACAGAUGGAGUAUAAUUCGCGAGACGAAUCUAUUAAUCCUAAUUAGUCCAUGAUUUGACGCAAAAUUUNNNNNNNNNNNNNNNNNNNNNNNNNNNNNNNNNNNNNNNNNNNNNNNNNNNNNNNNNNNNNNNNNNNNNNNNNNNNNNNNNNNNNNNNNNNNNNNNNNNNAAGCUUAAUGGAGUAGAUGCUGUUUUCUACCAAUACAGUGUAAUGGACAAUCCUGAAACUCUGUUCUUGCUUAUCUGUUUUACUUUUGGUUACAUCGUAGGUACAAUUCUUCAGCCUGUGUUACUUGCAUCAUAUGUUUUAUUCUGAAAUCGCUUUGGUUACAUAGUAGGUUACCAUCAUAUCUGAGGAUGAUAAGGUGGUUGAUGGUAAGGGUAUUGCCCGAAAGGUCAUUGAUAAACUGUUGCAAUCAUUCAGUUCUGAACUUGAUGGGAAGGAUUUUGCAUAUGAUACAGAGAAAUGUUUAUUUAUGAUGGAUUAAAUUAGGCUUAAUAAGAUUCGUCUCGCGAAUUAGCACAAGGUUCUGCAAUUAGUUUUAUAAUUAGCUCAUAUUUAGUCCUCCUAAUUAGCAUCCGAACAUCCGAUGUGACACUGUUAAAGUUUAGCACCUCAUAUCCAAACAGCCCCUCAGACUUGCCUCGUGUUUGAUCUUAUACGUCAUCGGCGAGAUCGCGAUGUAGCUGUUGAACGCCUGCGAUGCCGUGUCCACGCCUUUCGCCACUCGUUUGAAUAGACAAGCUCCCAAUCAUUAGACAAUCAUUGUUUCACUCGUUCAAAAAAAAAAAAUUCACUGUUUCACUAGAUGGUUGCCGACACACGAGCCACACGCCCACACCCCAGACCCCACACUGACGAGCAGCAGAGAUUUACGACAUCACCGUUCCUUGGGCAUCCAACUGUGUCGCAUCGGUGAAAGGAGCAGAAUAUGUCGUUUCGGUCCAAAAAAACACGAUGCCAAGGCUACUCGCUUGAGCCCCAUCGACAUGGCUGCCGGCGCGGGUGGAGCAGAUCCCCGAGGAAGGCCCCUCCACCGCCGCUCCCCUCAUCCCAUCCCUUUGUAGCAGCCAAGCUGGCCCCGGCGUGGUGGUCGACGGCACUGAUGUGGAUUUGAAAAGAUUGUUCUCAAUUUGAUAACAGAUCACUGAUGUUGCCAGUUUGAUAAUCACGAAAUUCAGUAUGGCAAUUUAGGAGCUUCCUCUUGUCUUGCAGUGGAGCACGCUUGGCAGCAGUGGCCACCGGCAGCCGGCGAUCGGCGGCCGGCAGCAAUGGCGAUGGGGCGAGCGGUCUACAAAUGGGCCAAACCGCCCAACCGAGUAGCUUUCACCGAUGCUGCCGUUGGAUGCCCAAGGAGCGGUGAUGCGGCGGCAGUGCACACAUGAGCACCGGCACCGGCGACCAAGAACUAAAAUUUGGUUUCGAGCUUUGCACGUGGCUAGCGAGGCGAAUAUAAAAUGUGGCAGGUGCUGUUCGCUAGUGGAUCCGAUGGGGUUUUCAGCGUCCGGCCCCAAAAUCUGCGAAAAUGGAUGGCUGCUGAAACGUCCAGUAUUCCAAGCGCGUGGUUGGUUUGGUGUCCCAUUCCAUCUCUGCAUUUGCCGCCCGUCACGGCCCGACGGAAGAGUAGGGCGAGAGAGACAUGGGCAAGCUCUCGCCGCCGCGUGCCAUCUCGCUCCUCCUCCUCGUAUUCACGUCGACGGGGGCCGGGGGCCGUGACGACGGCCACCGCGACCGCUCCCCACGUCCGGGUCCGGCGCCGCUACGACUCCAUCUUCAGCCUGGGCGACUCGUACGCGGACACCGGCAACGGCCCCGUCGUCUUGGACCGGCACGCCAUCGACAACCCCGUGAUGCGGCCGCCCUACGGCUCCAAUUUCUUCGGCCGCCCCACCGGCCGAUACUGCGACGGCCGCCUCGCCAUCGACUUCAUCGGUGCGCGGCCGGCGUGCUCUGCUGCUCCCAUCUCUUGCCCAAUACAACGUGCUGCCGUCGAUCCGAUCCACUAGCUGACCGAUCACUCUGGCUCUGUGCUCAAUUCCUCGCAGCUGAGAGCCUGGGCCUGCCGUUGGUCCCGCCAUUCCUGGCGCGCAACGGGAGCUUCCGAGCCGGCGCCAACUUCGCCGUCGCGGGCGCCACCGCCCUCGACUCGAGCUUCUUCCGCGACGGCGAGCUCCACGCCUCCGGCACCGCCGCCCACUCCGCUUUCAACACCAGCUUGAACGUGCAGCUGCAGUGGUUCGAGUCGCUGAAGCCAUCACUCUGUGCCACGGGACAAGGUCAGUCAACUCAUAUAUGCCUAGCUAGCUGCUGAAUUCUUGUUGCUAAUGAUGCAUCAUCCGGGCGCGCGGCAUACCGUUAGAGUGCAGAGAAUUCUUUGGUAGGUCGCUCUUCUUCGUCGGCAAAUUCGGGUUCAAUGACUACACCAUCUUGUUGUUGUACAAGGGGAAGAGCGUUCCACAGGUCAGGUCGUUCGUCCAAGAUGUCGUCAGGACCAUAUCCAUGGCCAUUGAGGUAGGUAAUCAUGGACCUAGCAACCUGCAAGGGAUCGGAGCAGCCAACAUUACUUUGGAUUAGUAAUAGAUGAAACUAAAUAAAGUUACUGAAUUUCUAAUGACGAGUCGGUGACAGAGGCUGAUCAAGCAUGGGGCGACCAAUUUGGAUUAGUAAUAGAUGCACGCCGCCGGUGCUCGCCGUAUUUGACGCCAACUCCGACCAGGCACGCUACAACCCCCAGACAGGGUGUCUGGAUGAGGUCAACGAGCUAACCAUCCAUCACAACUCGUUGUUGCUGGAGUCGAUAGAGAAGAUCCAGGCCAAGUACCCGGAGGUGGAGAUCAUCUACGCCGACUUCUUCAGCCCCGUCAUGGAGAUGGUGGAGUCGCCUGGAAAGUUUGGUCAGUACCCGCGUGCGGAACCUGCAUUGCAAUUCAUGGUCUGAUUGUUGUGACAGAAAAGUGAUGGAGCUUGGUGAUUGCAGGGUUUGAAAGAGACGUUCUCACAGUUUGCUGUGGAGGGCCUGGGAGGUACCACUUCAGACAGGCGAUCUUGUGCGGCGAACCAGGCGCGACCAAAUGUGAGGAUCCAUCUGCUCGUUUGUUCUGGGAUGGUGCUCACUUGACGGAGGCGGCUAACCGGUACGUCGCCGAUGAGUGGUUCAGCAGCAUAAACCAGCCUGCAAGGGCUAGACUGCUAGCAGUUAGUAAUUAAGGUGCUGCAAGAAAGACUGUAAUGUUACUACUGUAGCCAAAAGUACAUAUACAAGUGAAGUACGAGGUUGAUCGCCGAUAGAGGUACUGUUGUUACAGAAGAUGAUAUGUUCAGAUGAAUAAUGUGAAGCAAUACGAUCUGGUUGCCUAAGCUCGACAGCCUAGUGAAUGCACAUGCAUGCUCUGUUCAGGGUCACAAAGCAGUUAAAUAACCUGGUUCACUCUUUUGAGGCGCUUCCGGAAAGCAGUCUGGCUCGCCACCGAGCGCGCUCUGGCAUGGAGUCAUUUCGUCGAACAUCUUGGCUUCGUCCACCCAAUCAGCCUGUACCGAUUCCCCAUCCCGUCAGGCGUUGAGGCGACGGAAUUGGUAGCACCAGCGGGCGGGAGGUGGCUAUGCUUCCUGCGGGGUGCGGAGACGGUGAGGGGAUUGGCCGAUUGGGAGGAAAUUUGGAUGAGAGAUGGGUUGGGCCGUCUGUUUCAUAUGUACGAGCUCGGAGUAUAUUUGGGCCGAAGGCCUUGCUUCAAACAAAAGGUUUCUUUUCUGAUUCUUUUCUUCUUCUUCUUCUUUUCGAACGUACUAAAUCCUUUUUCCCCAAUGGUUUCUUUUCUGAUUCAAAAAUGAACUAAAGGGAUUCAUACAAAAUUCUCGUGAAAUAGACACUAUUCCAAAUGAAACUCUAUUGGUUUGAAAUGCAUACCCCCGUGGCAAGCACAAGAACUCGAAGAUGAUUUUUAUUUUUUUUAUGGAAAUGAUUCUUUAUUUUUGAAAAAGAAAGGCUUCUCCAUCACAAACAUUUGCCUCAAGCCCUCAACUUUCCAUGCGAUUGUCACAAAUCUAAAUCUGGUUUACUCACAGCAAGAAGCCAAGGAGCAUCACUGCGUCCAUGAACUAACCGCCUUACACGUAGUCAUCUUUCAUGGGUCUCUAUCACGGAGGUUGAAAGCUAGUGUCAUAUGCUACUCCUCACAUUCAUGCCCUAACUUUAUGCUUUCGGUUGCUGCUUUCACCGCUCGUUAGCACGAGGACUCCACGGUUGCAGUUGCGGCCGUCGUCCUGUUGGUACCCCCGCCAUCACUUCCCGGCGACUUUAUCCUGUUCAGCCAGCCGGCGGCGAUGUACCGGUAGGCCGCCUCCGUCAGGUGGACGCCGUCCCAGAACAAGCGAGCAGACGGGUCCCUGCACUUGACCGCGCCUCGAUCGCCGCAGAAAACCUGCUUGUUGUAGUUGAACCUCCCCGGCCCUCCACAGCAGAGCGUAAGAACAUCUCCUUCAAACCCUGCAACCACCAAAUAACUUGCAUGAUUCCCAUCACCAUUUCGAUUUCUCCAACCGCACAAGGGCAAGAGUCACGUCAAGUCGUCAAUACAAGUUCCAGUGCAUUCAGCAAGAAACGAGCAGUACUGACCGAAUUUAGCAGGAGACGUGACCAUGUCGAUGACGGGCCCGAAGAAGUCGGCGUAGAUGAUGGUGACGCCGGCCGGCCGGUGCUUGUCCCGGAGCUCGCGCAGGGCCUCCUGGAGCAGCGCGUUGUGGCGGGCGGCGAUGCCGUUGAUCGCUUUGAGGCAGCCUGUCCGGGCGUCGUAGGCCGCCGGGUCUGGGUCGGCGAACGUGACGAGCACCGGCGGCGCGCAUCCCACCGGGAUCACGCCGGGAACCACCAGCGUCGUCGCCCCGUGAUGGAUUAUCAGCCUCUGUUACGCGCCCAGCAGUCAGCAGAGCAGGUCACCGCCGUUAAUUAGUUAGCGUUGUUUGGUUUGAUCCGACUCUUAUCAAUGCUGAUCAUACUUCUCGUUGGCGUUCUUGCAGUUAGCGAUGUGCGUACCUCGACGGCCAUGGAGAUGGUCCCCACGACGUCCGGGACGAACGAUCUGACCUCGUCGACGCUCUUCGCGGCCAAGGAGAGGAGGUAGUCGUUGGCCCCGAACGGGCCGACGAAGAAGAGCGAUCUGCCGAACAACUCCUUGCAACCUGUGCACGCAUUAAUUCGACGAAUUCGUCAGAAAUUCUGCCGGCAGUUCCUUCCUACGCAUUAAAGAGAUCGAGUCGAUAUGAUCAGUGAAGAACGUCGUACCUUUGGGUGUGGCGCAGAGCGAGGGCUUGAGCGACUCGAACCACUGCAGCUGCACGCCUAGGCUGGUGUUGAGCGGGAACACGCUGCCGCCGGGUGGAUCCCAGCGGUGGAAGAAGGUGGUGUCGAUGGCGGGGGCGCCGCCGACGGCGAAGUUGGCGCCGCGGCGGAAGCUGGUGGCGGAUCCAUUGCGCGCCAGGAAAGGCGGGACGAGCGGCAGGCCCAGGCUCUCGGCUGCGGGCAAGCAGAACGAUCAGCUGUUUGAUGUACAAGUACAGCAACACAUUGGGCGAGAUCGAGGUAGCAGGGCACGGCGCGCACCGAGGAAGUCGAUGGCAAGGCGGCCGUCGCAGUUGCGUCCAGUGGGGCGGCCGAAGAAGGUGGAGCCGUAGGGCGGCCGCAUGACGGGGUUGGCGAUGGCAUGCCAGCCGAAGACGACGGGGCCGUUGCCCGUGUCCGCGUACGAGUCGCCCAGGCUGAAGAUGGCGUCGUAGCGGCGCCGGACGUGGGGAGCGGUAGCGGUGGCCGCCGUCACGGCCCCCGUCGACGUGAACAGGACGGCGACGAGGACGAGGAGCGAGACGGCACGCGGCGGCGGCGGCGAGAGCGUGCCCAUGUCGCUCUCGCUCUGCUCUUCCGGCUGGCCGCGACGGGCGGGGCGCCGGGGUGGGCGCGCGACGCGCAAUGCAGAGAUGGAAAUGGACAAUGGAUGUGUUAGGCACUCCUGUUUCAGCCAUCCGUUUCGGAAGAUUUUUUUGCCCUGCCCGUUUUGGCAACGACCUCCCUGACGGAGAGAGCAAUCAUCAGUGGACGUCCCUAUCAGGCUGCCCUGUCCGUCUUGUCACGGUGCAGCAUCCACAUCUCCCUCUCUGGGUGGGAGCACUGGCAGGCUGGCAGCCUGGAGAGGUUCACGCGAGGAUGCACCGAUCGAGUCAGUGUUGCCAACAAGUGAAAGCAUUGCCAUGAAUGACCGAUCGAUGCCAUUGCCUGGACGCCAUUACAGGGGAUCUGUCUGGACGCGAUCAACCCGUGUUGAGCCGUUUCAUCGAGCACCUUGCUUUCGUUCAGCCGGCCGGACAUGGCAUUCAGGCAUUGGCAUUGGGUGGUUGGUUACAUUGCCUGGGCGCUAUCGCAUUCGACGGGUCCCCGGAUGAGACAUGGGUUGGGCCGUGUGCUUCGUAUGCGGCCUAGAACCCUAAGAGGCCUGGGCCUAGUGGGCCGUGUUUGAAACAUUCCCAGCACAAAAUUCCAAAUUUUUGUGAUGCUCCCCCAUUCCACUACAUCUACUGCACUGCCCAGCAAGACAGCUACUAGUCCGAAGAUCUUAAAAUAAGUUCUCGGAUUCUGUACGGUCAGGCACUGAGUUAGGGCCUGUUUGGGACUGCUCCGCUCCAAAAAAAAAAUAGCUUCGCUCCAGCUUCAUCUUGCCAAACACCUCCAGCUCCAACUAUACCAACUUCAAAAAAAAUGUGGAUCUGGGGGGCAACUCCAAGAUUUUCCUGGAGCUCCUCAAAGGGUGCUCUCAAAAAACAACUUUUAUAACUCCUCUUGGAGUUGGGUAGAAAUUACCCACCAAUGCCACCCUUUACACGGUACCGUUCCGAAAGAAAAAAAUGACCGACGCUUUUUUUCCGCGAGAUCGGCCGACUCCUCUGUUCCGCGACUCGGCGGACGGCGCCCAUACAGCUUCCUUCCGCCCGCCCGCCGCCGCCCGUACAGCUUCCGCCCGCCCAUCGUCGGCGAUUCCGCCGCCGCCCUCACGCCUGACUCGGCGCCACCGCCUAGUACUCCUCCUCCGUCGCCGGCAUCUGGCCUCCAGCGCCCGUUCCACCUGUCGCCGCCCAUGGCCGACGGUGCGGAACCCGUGGCCGUCGAGGAGUUGGAGGCGACCGGCGCCCUGGCCGGCGGCCUGGUUGGGGCCGGGCGUGGCCUCACAGGGGGCGGCCGUGGCUUGUCCGAUGUCGACUCCCCGGAUUGCCUCGCUCGUGAAGAAGACACUGACUUGGCCGGAGGUUUAGCCGGCGCCGGCGGCGGCCCUGUGCUGGGGGCGGGCGGCCGUGGGUUGGGCGCGGCUGGCCCUGUGCUGGGGGCGCGCGGCCGUGGCCUGGGCGCCGCCGGCCUGGAAAAAACCGGCCGUGGCCUGGGCGCCGCCGGCCUGGAAAAAAUCGGCCGUGGCCUGGGCGCCGCCGGCCGUGGCUUGGCUUGGUCGGUGGCGCCCGUGCCCAUGCCGGCAAUAGGACGAUGAUGGCCGAUGAUGAGGCUGACUUCGAUGAGUUCGUGCCUGUCGGCCAGGCCGGGUUCGGUCGUGGCUUGGGCGCGGCCGGCCGUAGUUUGGCGGUGGGCGGCCGUGGCUUGGUCGGUGGCGCCCGUGCCCAUAUCGCAGCAAGCAGCGCCUGGCCGACGAUGAGGCUGACUUGGAAGAGGUUGUUCUUGGUGCCGAAGAUGCAAGUGUCGGCCAUGGCCGUGGGAAGAAGCGGCCAGGAAGAGGUCGGGGCCAAGGACAGAGCAAGAAGCCCUCUAGGGCAGCGAAGAAGAAUGACGAAGAGGAGGUAUGUGAAUUGUCCUUGGUGUACGUUUCAUAUACGUUGAUACAUUUGCUUGGUAUUGAAUGGAUGGAACAACAGUAACAAAAAUAUUAUGUUAGUAGUAGUAGGAAACUGAUGCAAGCAUCCUGCUCAAGUGGUAGUUCAGCUGCAGGUGGUUCAUUUGGUGUCGUUUGUCAUGUUAGUAAAGUAUAGAAUGUGGAUGCUGCAAGAUACAUAUAUGCUUAAUUAGUACACAACCUGUGAGCUAAAUAGUCUUUAUUAGAAAAGACGUUCUGACCUUGAGUUUGGAAUUAACCACAAGACAUUGUUAUGGGAAUGUUCUGACGUUGAACAUGGUCAGGGAGAUAUGAUGGACUGGACCGAUGCAUACACAUCGAUUGUUUGUAACUUAUUUGCAGAACAAGUUAAGAAAGGCAAUAGACCAAAUACACAUUUGAACUUUGUAGGCUAUACAGAAGUGUCAAAUAGGUUUUAUCAGAUGACAGGAAUUUAUCUUAGCAAGAUGCAAUUGAAAAACAAGUGGGAUAAGUUGAAGACAAAAUUAUCAGCAUGGAAUAGAUUAAUGAAGAGGCAAACAGGAACAGGUUGGGAUAGAACAAAGGGUGUGAUUGACAUGGACGAUGAGUGGUGGAGGAAGGCAAGGAAGGUGAGGAUGUAAUUUUUUAAAUUUUUUAAUGAAUCAUUCAUACUCGUUACUCACUCAUAACUAACACUAUUUUCUUAUCUUAUUUUUCACUACAGGAUAUCCCAGGAUGCGGCGGGUUCAGGACAAAACCUCUGCAAAAUAUGGAUGAUUUGACCGUUAUGUUUGGUGACAUCAUUAAUGAUGAAACAGAUCAUUGGAACCCUAUGACUUCCAACCCUAUCAUACCCCAAAAUGAUGAGACUCCUAUUGAAGUAGACCUUGAUGUUGGUGAGAACCUUGAUGGUGGUGGGGAUGAUAUUCAUGUGUACCCAACAGAAGAAGAUAAUGGAGGUGUUGCUGUGAAUGACAUUGAGGAGGUAUCUCCAUCCAUUGGCAAUGCAAAAAGAAGAUCGAGGGUUGUCAUAGACAAAGGAAAGAAAGCAAAAACAGGAACCGCACUUGUGAUUCAAGAAAAAUUGAAUGAGAUAGCUGAACAAGCCAAGGCUUUCACAUCAAGAAAGGUUGGCGAAGUUACUGUUGAACAAGUAAUGGAUCUUGUUUUGGAUUGUGGAGCGGGGUAUGGUACCGAUGAGCAUUUUAUUGCUACUGAGUUGUUUGUGAAGAAAGAUCAAAGGGACAUGUUCAUGACACUUCCAACUAAGGACAUUAGAUUCGGUUGGCUUACGAGGAAGUUCAACGCCAAAUACGGGAACUGAAGAUCACCAUUUGUUUUUUUCAAUUAUGUGGACACCAUUUUUAUGUUUAUUUAUUAAUGUCACUUGAACUUUGUCAUCAUUGAACCUUUUGUAUUAAUGUCACUUGAACAAUGGUGUAUUCAUGUUAUUUUGUUUCAUGUCAAAUUGCAGGUGUCCGAGAGUGAGAGUGAUAGUAGUGAGGAGAGUGCGCAGUUUUGGAGUUUAGUUCUUGGUGGUGCUCAAGUAGCUCAAAUUUAUGUCGAUCUUUAUCUAGAUAAAAAGCCACCAAGAAUAUCAAACCUUAGUAGCAUGGGAUGGUUGAUGGAGACAAUAAGGAAUGCAGGAGAAUGCCAUAGACAACUUCGUAUGAAUGAGAAAAUACUUAUGGAUCUUCAUGAUUUAUUGGUGGGAAGGUAUGGGCUAAAACCUUCGAUGCAUAUGAACACGCUUGAGAUGUUGGCCAUCUUAUUAUACACUUUGGGUGGAAAUGAGUCAAAUAGGAGAGCUCAAAAUAGAUUCAACCACUCUGGUGAAACUAUAAGUAGGAAAUUUGAUGAGGUCUUAUUAUGUUUGAUUGCUGUGGCAAAGGAUUUCAUUAGACCAAAGAAUCAAAACUUCCCUACUGUCCAUAAAAGGAUAAGAGAUGACAGACGUGCAUAUCCACACUUUAAAGAUUGCAUAGGUGCUCUUGAUGGUACUCAUAUUCGUGUCGCUCUGUCACCUGAGGAGAUGGUAAGAUAUAUUGGGAAAACCGGAACGACAACACAAAAUGUUCUAGUUGUUUGUGAUUUCGACAUGCGUUUCACUUAUGUAUCCACGGGUCAACCCGGAGCUAUGCAUGACACAAGUGUGCUGUACAAUGCAAUUAGAGUGGACGAAGAAUUCUUCCCACAUCCUCCACAAGGUAACAUCGCCUUUAUAUGAUUUAUGUUUUACUUGUCCUAGUGCUGAACAAAUAAUAACUUAUAUUAUCUUCUCAUUUUGCAGGCAAAUACUAUGUUGUUGAUGCGGGUUAUCCUAAUCGCCCUAGGUAUCUAGCUCCGUACAAGGGUGAAAGGUAUCAUUUACCCGAAUGGCAUAGGGGUAUGGAACCAAAGACUCCCGCGGAAAGGUUCAAUCGUGUUCACUCAUCUAUUCGCAAUGUUAUUGAGAGAUCGUUUGGAUUAUUAAAAAUGAAGUGGCAAAUUCUCGACAAGAUGCCACCGUACCCUAUGUACAAGCAAAAGAUGAUUGUUGUGGCUACUAUGGUCCUUCACAAUUAUAUCCGUGAACAUGGAGGUGAAGACAUUGACUUUGAUCGGUUUGAUCGUGAUCCUAAUUACAUACCUACUAUCCCGGAAAGGUAUAACAAAUAUGCAGUUUCUCCCUUGGCAUCGGACGGGUCUACUUCGAAUGCCAAUGCUCCAACUAUGGAUGUAUUUCGUGAUGAGUUGGCCACCGCUCUUUCUCUUGCUUGGAACUAGUUAAUAUUGGUGUGGUUAAUUUUGUAAUUUCAUUUGAUGUCACAUGAAACAAAUUUUAAUUUUUAUUGGAACAAGUAAUGGAUCUGUUAUCUAGUACGAAAAUUUUCCAUGUGAAAAAAGAAACAUGAGCAGUGCAUGAACGGCACAGUAACCUCAUGGGUACUGUAGCGCGGUACUGUAGCAUGGUACUGUAGCGCAGAACUGUAGCAUAGAGCAAAACCUUUGGGCAAAAACGACUAUUCCCACUUGUUCCUAUAAUUUUUGGAGCUGAAUUUGGAUCCGGUAGCCAAACAGGUACCUAGCUCCCUAUUUUUCUGGAGUUGGUGGAGUGGAUCUGACAAAAGGUGGAGUUGGUGGAGUGGAGCUAUUUUUUUUGGAGCGGAGUAGUCCCAAACAGGCCCUUACCCAGAGUGUCUUACCACGUGUUUAAGAUGCAGAACAUGCUAUACCACUCAACAGUCCAAGAAACUAAGAACAUGCCACUGUCAACAGUAAAUUGCACAACGAGAAUAUAAGGCAUCGAGGAGUUGAGAGUUGUUGGUGCUUUUUCUGAUCAACACACCGAAUUGUGUUAGAUCGCACGGUGGAACUUCACCUCGCAAGGCUCCUGUCUCUGGUUGGUCAGACCGGUCAGGGAAGCCGGUCAGAUUGGUUUGCACAGGGGCAACAUAAAAAUCUAAAAUCACCGUCCCGGAAGGGACCCUGUCAGGGAUAGAUGCGCCUAGGGUUGCUCUGAAAUCAGCAGGCCACUCAGAACCUCCUUAGCCGCUAUGGAGACAAAAGAGGAAAGCAAAAGGGUGGAAAAAAUUAGGGUUUGGAGAUAAAAAUAAAGUAAAUAUUUUGAUUGAUUGGGUGUUAGCGUUAAUCGGGAGGUUUUCUUCCACACGGAAAUCCUUUUACAAAUCUUAAUCUAUAAGGAUUUCUCAGAUCUACUCGGAGUCUCGGACUAGGAUUGAACCGGUUAGACCACCUAGCUAAACCGGUCAGACUGGUUAGUCUUACCAGACUGGCUACAAGACACAGGACGGUCAGACCGCCUGGAGGAACCGAUCUAACCGGUUAGUCUCAGCCUGAUCGUUUUGCUGCCAAUUUCGAGCUCAACAAGAGUAAUACACGUCCCACCUCUGUUUUACCAACUGAUGACAGAGUUUACGUAAAUGCAUUCAGAGAACCUUAAACAAGCGUAGAGUGAACACAAUUUCUAUACGCCAAAUGUGUCCCACGGAGUUCAGAAAUACAAAGAAGAAAAUGUUCACAUUGGACUAAUACGAAAUGUUCAAAUCUUCAGAGAUGGAAUCCUCCAUGCCAACAUAAUUUUGCAGUGACCUGGGAACCGGAGGGACCUCGACAUCCAUGACACCCUCUAGCAUGCGAACAACUUGCCCCAUCAUUGGCCUGUGGUUUUCAGCAUCCUGAAUGCACCAGCAGGCAACUCUACAGGUUCUGUUCAGCUGCUCCACUUCAGCGUUGCCCUGCAGACUACUGUCCAACAGGCACAUAACAUCACCUUCAUUCACCUUAACUGCAGCAUAUAUUGGAAAGUAAGUAAACUUUCCUUCCUUAAUCUUCUCCGAAUUUCUUCGCCCUG
This 49911-nucleotide long non-coding RNA is filed under the name Setaria italica (foxtail millet). Its description in RNAcentral is "long non-coding RNA (SITA_LNC003378)". The record is from RNAcentral. Lineage: Eukaryota; Viridiplantae; Streptophyta; Magnoliopsida; Poales; Poaceae.